AGAAAUCAAUGAAAGGAUUUUCAUGUGUUCUAAUUAAUUUCUCAAACAACAAUUUUAGUCUAAAGCGUGUGCCGAAAGUAAUAAUGAAGAAUGAUUUUGGUCUUUAGUGUAGAAAAGACAUGGUCUAUUUGAUGUUGACAAAAGCUAGCUUCAAUAAUCUACACAUCAAAGAAAGGAUUUCAUAUGUAUCGGAGGGUUUAUCUUUUAUAAUUAAUCACCAGCCAAAUUUUAUACAGUUAAACUUCAUAGUAGAUAAAUUAGGACCAUUCUAUUUAUCAAUUAAUUUUAAGCCAACAAUAUCAAUCGAUUAUUCUUCUGGAAGUGGGGCGGAUUACCAAAUAACAUAGAGUCUUUAACAGCAAAUAAGGAAGGAAAUCAGUCACUGAUUUGAAUUGAAUUACUUACUAUAACCACUUUCGGGCUUUGUUUUACAGUUACAGAGCAUCACUGCCUAUGCGUAUAUUUAUCUAUAUACAAUGUUAUUAAUUACUGCAGCAUCGUCAUCACAAAAGCGAAAAGCUUCUAAGCGACAAUAUUCUACUUGCAAAUUUCCAUCAUCAUUUAGAGUAAUUAAAAUAAUUAAUUGGAAAAAAAAAAGAAAAGAAAGAAAGAAACAAUCGAACAGGCAGAGGCAAAGGGUUUCAUUUCUCGUAUUUAGACAAUGAUAAAUUAAUAAUAAUAUGAGCAAAUCUUGAGAUAUGAUAUGAACGAAAAAGAAGGUUGACAUUGAAGAUAAAGAGAUCACCAUCAAAUGAUAGUCAAACAGCAUAUUAAAGAUGAUCGGUUACUACUUACCUUCUUCAUAGAAGCCUUCUCUACCAGCGUUUUCACGAACAUUUUUGCAACAAAAAUCUCCAGGGAAAACCAAUCACUUCAACUGAAGAUCCAAAACGGCAGUUUCAGAAUUUUAUUCAUUUUUAGGGAAAAAUGAAUAAAAUAUUCUUUUGGAAUAAAGAAAAAGAGCAUAUUCCAAAAUCAAUUUCUACUUAAACUUAUAGUAGUCAUGCAAAAGAGAGAUAGUGAAUGUAUAUCACUGUGCAGAAGUAAACAAAGUAUGCAAGCAUGAUGAAAUAAAGAUCAUGAUAUGUGCCUAUGAGAUUAUUAUAGAACGAACCUGCCAUAAAAAAUGAUGCAGAGACUAACCCGGAAGAAAAGGCCACCUAAGAUGUGAAUUUGCUGUUAUUUGAUUCAACUCUUCGGCAUGGCUCUUGAGGUUUGAAUCAGCCUAUGGCAGGCAAGUGAGCAAGAUAGCUUGAUGCCCUUAUCAACAUUCUUUUUCCAUGAAUCUGAAUCUUUCUGUCGAACAACAUUAAUAAGAAUGCACAUAGAAGUAAUACGGUAUUGCAUGUUAUAAAGGAAAUUAUUAAUUUUGUAAAGUACCUUAGCAAUUCUGCUUUUGCUAACUUUGUUACUGUCUAGACUGCACUCUGUUCCACAGUCGAAAUCAUUCUGCAUUUUGGCACAAUUCCAACGCAUCUUCUAUUUAACAAAAAAGAAAAAAUAAGAAUCAACCAUUGUCAAUUCUUAUCAACAAAGUCUUCAAAUUGACAUUGCGGUCUCUGUUGUUUAAAGGGGAAAAAAAUCGAUAGUUGUGAAUUCUUAUCAACCAAAAUUAAACAUGGGGGUGGAGAAAAGAAAAAUAAAAAUCAAAUGUUGAAUCCUCUUGAUUGUAUCAUGGAUAAAUCUGAUUUAGAUCUGAGUCCAUAUUUUAAGAGAUUCAUCGACCCAUUUUCAGACAUGCCAGGAAUUGUAAAUUAAGUCAAAUAUUCACAAAAAACAGAUUCUGUGUUCAGCCGCAAAUGGGCUAUUUCACGGCCAAGCAAGAAAACAAAUGAAGAAAAUUAAUUGCUUUCCACUGGUUCAAGAAUUAAUACCAUGAUUGAUUGCUUCUCUUUUGGAAGAAAUAAUUUUGAAUAAAACACAGCAUCAUUACAAAAAAUGCGAUGAUAUUUUUUCAAUAAUCAGAUGAUGAUAAUUUCUCCAUACAUUCAUUCUACGGCCUGACUCUGUUUUAUGUCUAAGGCUAAUGUGGUGCACUUGCAGCAAGAUAACCAAACCGGUAUGUGUUGGGAAAAUAUGCUCUUUAAAAGCAUAUAUGUUUAUUUAAUUGUAAUAAACUAUUUUUCUGAUUAAUAAAAUAAAUGAGGUAUUUUAUUCAAAUAUCUUAAUUGCAUUAAUACUUGUAUUAAAGUCCAUUUAAUCAUAUUAUAUGUAUUUAUGUGAUUACCAUGUGGAUUCACAGAAGACAUAAAUACAUGUUAUCUUAUGAUUAAAUAAAUUUAGUUCGCAGUUGAUAAAUAAAGUUGGGCACUUUAUUUAGGUAUAGACUGUAAUAAAUUCAUUGAAUGAUUUGUCUUAAUCAUGUAUGAAUUUAUUGAUGUAGUACGACUACAUUGAACAGGAUCACAUAUGAGAUUUAAUUAACUUUGUAAUAACUGUCAGACUUAUUAAAUCUCAUAGGCGUUGAUUUUACUGUAAUCUUAAUCUUGAGUUAAUUAUGAUUUCAUGAUUGUAAUUGUUAUUCCAUUUGAGUUACCAAUGGGCACGACACAUCCUUGUGGUCAAGAUUACCCGGUAUCUUGGUGGGAGCAAUUAUGAGUAUUGGAGUUAUAGAUUAACAAUAUAGAAUUUGUACAACACAUCUCUUCAUGGGUUUUCGGCACUUGAUCAUGGAAUUCUCUGGCCAGAGUGUGUCAACAUAUUUAGUAUGUUGAAAAUGAUCAUUAGAGAAAACCAGUAAGGAUCAAGGAAUAAGAUGUUAUUAAAUUGAUUGGACAGUUGAGAUAUCAAUUUAAUUAACGAUGUGGUACAAAGGAUUGUGCAGUAAAGAAAUCAAUGUGGCUUGGGACGAAUUAUUAUUCGAGCAUACAAUUAUGGAAGUCAGUUCCAAUCUUUUAGUGGAGUAGAUUUGGAAUUAAAUAAUUGGGCUAGUUUAAUUACAGGCCUAAUUAUUGUAGCCACUAUUGUAUGUUCCCAAAUGAUCCCCGGGUUAGCUCAUUUAAUUGACUGCACCACUACUGGACUAAUAAGUAAGAUAACUAGCUAUUUGGGUCAAAAGCCUAAAUAUAUCAUUUAGUGGGAGGCUCCAUUUAAUUAGCUUUUGUAUAAGGGGCCUUAUGUUAUUUUACAAGGUGGGUCCCCUAUUGAAAAAGCAAAUAAACGUGGGUUUUGUUUUUCAUUUAUUUGAAGCCUAGGGUUUUCACUAAAGGGUGAUAUAAAAGGCUUAUUUUUCCCUAAAGAAAAAGUGAGAAGCCACUUUAUACAGAUCAGAGAAAAAGAUUUUUCUCUCUAUUGUUGAGAGAAAAAUUUUCUCGUGCUAGUUGCUUUGGUAGUGAUAAAGGCGCCCACACGUCAAGUGCAGAUCGAACCUGAGUCAUAACCUGGAAGAUCAUUGGAGACUGUUCGUGAUCUAACAAGCGUGGUGGUGACGGAUCGUGAUCUAACAGGAGCGGUGGUGGCGGAUCGUGAUCUAGGAGCCUAAAACACUUCAGCGGAAAAAGCCAACUCGGAUUUUCAAGGUACGAUUUCUAGAAUACAAAUUCUUAUAUAUUAUAUGAGAGCGAUCUUCAAAAGGUUUUAUAAAAAAUUAAAAACCUAAUUUUUCCCCAACAAUUGGUAUCAGAGCCAUCUCAUAUUAAUAUAUAAGAAUUUCGUAUGAAAUUAAUCUUGAAAUUUAUGUAUUAGAGUGGCACAUUUUAUUCAGAUAUAUAUUAUUUGUUUAAUAUAUGAAUAAAGCAUGUUAUGGUUUGUCUUAAUUCAUGGUUAGAUGUUCUACUGUAUUUUUCGUUUGGAUCUGUAACAAGAGGGGUGGCUUAUUAUCACCAUGUUUCCCUCUUGAUUUAUUGUAAUGUAAUUAAAAUUUUGUAAGCCAAAAUUAGCAUCGGAUUAUUGUAAAUCACUGGAAAAUUGCGGAAACUUGCUGGAACCUGCAGCAACGAACCAGCACACGCAGCAGCGAGCGGCCACCAGCACACGCUGCUGCACGAGCAGCGCGCGGCCAGCAGCACAUGCUGCCAGCAGCGCGCGUUGCACACGCAGCGGCCAGCAGCCACGCUGCAAGCAGCUCGCGCUGCACAUGCAGCAACUGCAGCGCGCGUUGCAACGCUGCAAGCAGCGCUACCUGCAGCGAGCGAGCAGCAGCUGCAGCGCCCAAGCAGCAGCGCGAACGUGGGCUGGAGGCGCGGAGCGUUUUGGUUGACGUCUUUCCGGCGUUAAUGACGGCUGUCCGGUGUGGAAACAGUGAACAGCGGCUGGAUUUUUUUGGAGAUGGCGGCUGGGGAAGAGAGGAAGAAAAAUAUGGAUUUAGGGUUACAUGGUUUUUAUCAUGGAAGUCCCUAUGGUUCCAUAAUUUUUCAUUUGAGCAGAAAGUUUUUUAAUUUUUUGCAUUUAAAUCCAAAAACAGUUUUGGGUUUAAUGAAUCCUAGUUUUAGGCCCAAUUUCAAUUGGGCUUAAUGGAUUAAAAAUGCAUAGACAAAAUUAAAUACAUUAAAUUUAUUUUUGGUCCAAAAGCUUUAUUUUAAAAAAAAAUAAAAUAAAAUAAAACUAUUUAUUUAUUUAUUUCCUUUCAAAAUUAAAAUUGGACCAAUUAUAAAUUUAAAAGCCCAAUUUCCCCUAGUCCAUUAACAAAAACAAGCUUAUGGAAGAUGGACAUUGACAAGAAGCCCAAUGAAGAUUAGGCUUAGGGUUAAUGUAUUUUUCAUUAUUAGGAAAGCCAUGAAUUAAGAUUAUUUAAUUAUUUUUCUAUAUGUUAUGUUUUGGAUGAUAACAUGCCAUGAUAACAUGUCAUAUAGAAUAGGUAGUGUCACUCUAUGCAUAAUGAUACAUGUCAUUCAUUAAAUAAUGAAUUUCAUUAUAUUGUUUGAAAUUUGCAUUUGCUUAAUAAUAUUUGAUAUCAUCUAGAUAAUAUUAUAGGAAGCAUGCAAUUAACAAUAUGUAUGUUUUAAAAAGGAAAAAUCAAUUUUAAAAUAUUGAGUGGGAGAGGGAAAAUUCAAGAUAAUUUUUCCCACGGGCUCCAUUGUUAGUUCAAUAAUAAAAUUAUAUAUAUACCUCAACUUCAUGAUACGGUGAUGCUCCCUACGGAGGGUAUAUAUAUUGGAUAUUUUAUUUGAUGAACUUCUUCAAAGAUAAAAUUGAAAUAUUUUUUCAAUCGAUUGCUCGCCCCAACGGUGACUAUUGAUAUGAAAAAUACGUAGAUUGAAACAAUGGUUAUACACUCAACUAAAGUUUGUUAUUAACCUUCCCAACGAAGCUCUGUUAACAAAUUUAGGCCCAAAGGGAUAACGAUAAUUAUUUAUCAUGUCUCUACAUGAAAGUAAAUAAUCUAAUGGAUAAUUGGGUCUAGUAAGUGUAGACAUGACUUCCCCAACGGAUAGCUUGUCAAAGCGGUACUAGAUUAUCGUUACAAUAAAUUAAAAUGCAUUUAUGGUUUUUUGUAUUUUUGUCAUUUAUUGUGAAUAUUGUUUCAAAGUAUUUAUGCAUGUCUAUUUUGUUUUUUCAGAAAAUGUCUUCCAUCAACCCAUUAUUAAUUAUUCUUGUUAAAAAUGAACUCACUGGCGAAAAUUAUUUAGAUUGGAAACGCAAUCUAUUUAAUAUUCUCACUGCUAAGGGAAGCAAAUAUGUUUUGACUCAGCCUUGCCCUCCUGAACCAUCGUUAUACGAUUAUAGAAAUCAGAGGGAGCCUUAUGAGAAAUGGUGCGAAGCUAACAAAAUGGCUAAGCGCUAUAUAUUGGCUUCGAUUUCUGUGGAACUGCAUAAGAAACAUCGGAGCAUGGAAACAGCCACUGAAAUAAUGGCUAGUCUUCAUCAGAUGUUUGGGUAAAAUACCCAUUUUUCUAGAGAAGCAGCAUUGAAACGUAUUACGGAUACUAAGAUGGAAGAGGGCACAAAAGUUCGUGAUCAUGUCCUCAAAAUGAUGGACUAUUUGAAUGAGGUAGAGAUUCAUGGUGUUCAAAUCAAUGAUAAAUCAAAGAUUAACAUGGUGAUUGAAUCUUUACCUGAUACAUUCAAAGAGUUUAAGGUCAGUUAUAUCUUAAACAAUAAAGAUAUGACCUUAAUUGAAUUAAUGCACGAACUACAUGCUAUAGAAGAAUUCUAUCAUAGCAGAAAACUUCCUGAAAAAGGAUUCUCUUCAAGGCUUAAGUCGAAAGACAAGAAUGAGCAAGCAAGAGUUGGGAUCGGCAAACUGUCCACUAAAAGAAGUGGCAAGCCAAAAGGCAAGUGUUACAAAUGUGGACAGAAGGGUCGCUGGAAGAAAGAUUGUCCUAAGAUUAUUAAAAUCAGGUAUAGGAAAUCUUUAAGCUUCCUAAUUAGUUCAGAUUUCUAUUGCAUCAUACAAUAAUGAAUUCUGAGAUAACUAAUCUUAUUUGUAAUUCAUUUAUUUGGUUUUCAGGAAACCAAGAGAUUAAGUGAAGAAAGUAUCAAACAGCAGUUGAGGACAUGCUAGUUUAUAUUAAUUGAAAGACUAGAUCAAUUUUACAAGACUUUAGUUUUGAUAUUUGUCUUUAUAUUAGAGGAAUUUAAUUUCGGUGGCUUGUUUUAAUAAACAGGAGUACACUGUUAUUUUUUGGAUCCUCUAUUUAUUAUUUAUUUUGGUUAUUUAUAAAGACAAUUUAUAUCAUAGAAGUCCAUUGAUCUAUUCAAAGUAAGAUAUAAUGAUAAAAAGUAUAUGCAUUUAUCUAAGAAAAGAAAUGUUUCUUCUAACCAAAAAUCACCUCUGAUAUUUAUGCCUAAGUCAUAUAAACUAUAAUAAGAUUUUAAGAAAAUGAUUAAUGAUAGACUUGUUGGCCUAUUAAGAUUGAUCAUUGUAACUCCAUAAAUCUUAUUUAGAAAAGUAAUAUGACAAGGAUGCUCUUUUUGAGCUAAAAGCAUAACUAUGUAUUUGAUGAUUUAGCGCAUACAAAUGUAUACGGACUAAUCAGUUUACAUGUUAUAAGGGGUUAUGAGUAUUCUAUCAAUCUUGUUGAUGAAUAUUCAUUUUAUUUAUGUUUGUCUAAAUGCGUCAUGAUUCCAUUGCUUUUGAAAUUCAAAAGAGUACGUGGAUAAGACAGAAGCAAUUAGACAGGAACAUAAAAGAACUUCGAUAUGAUCGAAACAAAGAAUAUCUCUAUGGAGAAUUCAAGCACUAUUUGGUUGUCAAUGAACACUAUAAUACAAUAGUGUAAUUAAAUGAAGAAACAAGAUUCUUUUGGAUAAGACAAGAUAUAUACUAAGUGGUUUAUCAUUUACCUUUUUUGAUUCCAGAUAUUAGUAUUUAAAACUACAAAGUUUAUUGAACUUAGUUUCAUCUAUCUCGGUGUCUACUACUCCAAGAAAUUAUGAAAAAGUCACAAACAUGGUUUGAGACACAUUCAUAUUUGGAGUUUACUAGUAUUUCUACUAGAAUCAGAGAUAGACAAGAUGGAUUCGUGUUCAGAAGCUUGCAUGUUUUAGGUAUCUUAAAGGAAUAAGGGAAAGUCUGAAUUAUAGUCCUCAAGAUAGGAAUGUAUUUAUAGAAAUAUUCUUUACUUUCUUUGAGGAAGACUCUAUAAUGACUUAUAACCUAAGAGUAAGGUAAAACUAGAGAAAUAAAAGAGAUCAGGUUGAUGCUCAGCUUUCAACACCUGUUAUAGAACAGGAAGAACAGCAACAACCAGCUGAUCAGCACAGGAUUAUCCUUGAACAACCAUCACUUUUAGAACCUUGUCGUAGUGGGAGGGUAACUAGGUUACCUGCGAGAUACAUAUUUUUGGGAGAAACCUAUAUGGCUAUCUUAGAUGAACAUGUACAAAAUCCCACUAGUUACAACGAAGCUCUAAUAGAUAGAAAUGUUAAAUUUUGGAAAAAGGCCAAGAACACAUGGUAUGUAAGUUGCAGAGAUCCAUUUAUAGAUUGAAGCAAGCAUCCCGGUCAUGGAACAUCAGAUUUGAUCAAGCGAUUAAAUCACUUGGAUUCAUUCAGAACAUUGAUGAACCAUGUGUGUACAAGAAAAUUCAGGGAAAAUUUGUAGCCUUCCUAAUUCUUUGUGUAGACAAUAUUCUUCUGAUUGGAAACGAUAUAGGAGUAUUGACUACAAUAAAGAUUUUGUUAGCAAAAUAAUUUGAUAUGAAUGACCUGGGGGAGGCAAGUUAUAUUCUUGGUAUCAAGUUACUACGAGACCGGAAGAAUAAAACUUUAGCAUAGAUAGAAAUGUUAAAUUUUGGAAAAAGGCCAAGAACACAUGGUAUGUAAGUUGCAGAGAUCCAUUUAUAGAUUGAAGCAAGCAUCCCGGUCAUGGAACAUCAGAUUUGAUCAAGCGAUUAAAUCACUUGGAUUCAUUCAGAACAUUGAUGAACCAUGUGUGUACAAGAAAAUUCAGGGAAAAUUUGUAGCCUUCCUAAUUCUUUGUGUAGACAAUAUUCUUCUGAUUGGAAACGAUAUAGGAGUAUUGACUACAAUAAAGAUUUUGUUAGCAAAAUAAUUUGAUAUGAAUGACCUGGGGGAGGCAAGUUAUAUUCUUGGUAUCAAGUUACUACGAGACCGGAAGAAUAAAACUUUAGCCUUGUCUCAAGCGGUCUAUAUCGAUAAGAUAUUGGCUAGAUUUAGCAUGGAAAAUUCCAAGACUGGUUUAUUACCAUUCAGACAUGGAAUUACAUUCUCUAAGGAUCAAUCACCUAAAACAUCUGAAGAGAUAGAGAGAAAGAGACGAGUUCCCUAUGCAGACGCUGUGGGAAGUCUCGUGUAUGCCAUGCUUUGCACUAGGCCAGACAUCUGUUUUGCGGUAGGGAUGGUUAGCAGAUAUCAAUUUAAUCCUGGAUCUCUAUACUGGACUGCAGUCAAGCAUAUUAUAAAGUAUCUGAAAAGAACUAAAAAUUAUAUGCUUGUGUAUUCUGGUGAUGAACUCAUUCCAGUGGGUUAUACUGAUUCUGACUUUAUGUUAGAUAAGGAUUCCAGAAAAUCAACUUCCGGCUAUGUGUUUACAUUGGGAAGUGGAGCUAUUAGUUGGAUGAGUGUGAAACAAUCUUGUAUCACAGACUUAAUAACUAAAGCUGAAUAUGUGGCUACAUCUGAAGCUGCAAAAGAAGCUAUAUGGCUCCGCAAGUUCCUACGAAAUCUUGAGGUGGUACCUAUUGUAACUACACCCCUUAAACUAUUUAUGUGAUAAUGGUGGUGCAGUAGCUCAAUCUAAGGAACCAAGGAACCACAAGAAACAAAACAUAUUGAAAGGAAGUAUCAUCUUAUAAGGGAAUAAUGUAGAAAGGUUAUAUGACAAUACCCCAAAUGGCAUUAGAUGCUAAAUGGCAGAUCUUAUUACAAUGGCCAUUAGUGGGAAACCUUUAUAACCUGCACUUAGAGCCCUAGAGCAUGUGCAAUAUGCCAGAUAUGCUUUGAGAGCUAGUAGGAGAUUGUUGGGAAAAUAUGCUCUUUAAAAGCAUAUGUGUUUAUUUAAUUGUAAUAAACUAUUUUUCUGAUUAAUAAAAUAAAUGAGGUAUUUUAUUCAAAUAUCUUAAUUGCAUUAAUACUUGUAUUAAAGUCCAUUUAAUCAUAUUAUAUGUAUUUAUGUGAUUACCAUGUGGAUUCACAGAAAACAUAAAUACAAAUUAUCUUAUGAUUAAAUAAAUUUAGUUCGCAGUUGAUAAAUAAAGUUGGGCACUUUAUUUAGGUAUAGACUGUAAUAAAUUCAUUGAAUGAUUUGUCUUAAUCAUGUAUGAAUUUAUUGAUGUAGUACGACUACAUUGAACAGGAUCACAUAUGAGAUUUAAUUAACUUUGUAAUAACUGUCAGACUUAUUAAAUCUCAUAGGCGUUGAUUUUACUGUAAUCUUAAUCUUGAGUUAAUUAUGAUUUCAUGAUUGUAAUUGUUAUUCCAUUUGAGUUACCAAUGGGCACGACACAUCCUUGUGGUCAAGAUUACCCGGUAUCUUGGUGGGAGCAAUUAUGAGUAUUGGAGUUAUAGAUUAACAAUAUAGAAUUUGUACAACACAUCUCUUCAUGGGUUUUCGGCACUUGAUCAUGGAAUUCUCUGGCCAGAGUGUGUCAACAUAUUUAGUAUGUUGAAAAUGAUCAUUAGAGAAAACCAGUAAGGAUCAAGGAAUAAGAUGUUAUUAAAUUGAUUGGACAGUUGAGAUAUCAAUUUAAUUAACGAUGUGGUACAAAGGAUUGUGCAGUAAAGAAAUCAAUGUGGCUUGGGACGAAUUAUUAUUCGAGCAUACAAUUAUGGAAGUCAGUUCCAAUCUUUUAGUGGAGUAGAUUUGGAAUUAAAUAAUUGGGCUAGUUUAAUUACAGGCCUAAUUAUUGUAGCCACUAUUGUAUGUUCCCAAAUGAUCCCCGGGUUAGCUCAUUUAAUUGACUGCACCACUACUGGACUAAUAAGUAAGAUAACUAGCUAUUUGGGUCAAAAGCCUAAAUAUAUCAUUUAGUGGGAGGCUCCAUUUAAUUAGCUUUUGUAUAAGGGGCCUUAUGUUAUUUUACAAGGUGGGUCCCCUAUUGAAAAAGCAAAUAAACGUGGGUUUUGUUUUUCAUUUAUUUGAAGCCUAGGGUUUUCACUAAAGGGUGAUAUAAAAGGCUUAUUUUUCCCUAAAGAAAAAGUGAGAAGCCACUUUAUACAGAUCAGAGAAAAAGAUUUUUCUCUCUAUUGUUGAGAGAAAAAUUUUCUCGUGCUAGUUGCUUUGGUAGUGAUAAAGGCGCCCACACGUCAAGUGCAGAUCGAACCUGAGUCAUAACCUGGAAGAUCAUUGGAGACUGUUCGUGAUCUAACAAGCGUGGUGGUGACGGAUCGUGAUCUAACAGGAGCGGUGGUGGCGGAUCGUGAUCUAGGAGCCUAAAACACUUCAGCGGAAAAAGCCAACUCGGAUUUUCAAGGUACGAUUUCUAGAAUACAAAUUCUUAUAUAUUAUAUGAGAGCGAUCUUCAAAAGGUUUUAUAAAAAAUUAAAAACCUAAUUUUUCCCCAACACAUGCAGCAAUAAAUAAUCAAAUUCUGUCCUGUAUAUUUUUAUUUAGAAAAUUGCAAAAAAGCUAGUCGCUAGAAAAAAGUAAUUAAUUAAGUAAACACUGGCUUUGCACUUUGCACUGUGUUUGCGGUAAACUUUUGUUAAAGACAAGUAUACAUAAACUACCAAGGCACUGAAAAUAUGAAAUCAAAACAAUAUAUUGAAUCAAAACAAUACAUGUCUAUAGCGAAGGAAUCUCAAAAUCUGCUCACUAGCUAUGGCUCGUGUAGAACAAACCUUCACAAACUGACCUUGUUGGUUGAUUGCUUUUGCUUGGCAAAUCAUAGAGUUGAUGCAACACAUCAGGUGGGAUGCACGUUCCUUCAUGGGCAUAUUAUCGAACACGUCCUAGGCAUGAGAAUUAUACCAUAAUUCCCCAACAACUCCCCUCUUCAGCUGGGCCUGCAAAUUCCAUAUAAUCAUUCCAUUGUCUAUUUUUCGUUCGUUCUGAACCUAAAUCAAGCUUGCCAAUUCAUCUGAUCAUAUUCAUAUAGAUAUUUGUCUGUCUUCCUAAAAUUCAACAUUUGUCCACCAAGUAUUAGACCCAUAAAAAUUCAGAGAGGAAAUGACAAGGAAGAGGGUGAGCUCAAUAGACAGUCUCUACCUCAGACCCUGUGUUUUUUUCCAGCUGCCGCUAAUUGCUAAACACGGUUAAGAAACUUGCACACCAAUCUGGACAGCUCAUCAAUGCCACGUCACUACCCCUUAAACUGAUUUUUAACAGAUUUUUCAAUAAAUAGAAUGCAAAUGAAAUAACAUUUGAAUGCAUGGUUAGUGACAAAUUCAGAUAAUAGUAGGUAUGUAUUUGAGUUCAUCUUUGAGGUUGUGGUUCCUCAUCACCACAGCAGCCAUUCCACUGGCUUCUGUACCAAAAACAUAUUUAAUUUAUUUAUAUUAAUAAUAUAUUUAUAUUGAUUUUUAAAGUUGAUUAUUGAGGGAUUAGAAACACUUAAUACAUCCCAUCAUCAUCAUCAACAACAACAACAACAACAACAACAACAACAAAGAAAGAAAGAAAAGACUCAAGAGUAUUUGCAAAAGAUAAUUAUAAAGAGCGACUAUGGUCAACGGUGGAGAAUGGAAUCAAAGACAUUGUCAAAGGUAGCAAAAGCUUCGAUAAUCUAAACACAGAGACUUUUCUUCAAGUAUAGUUAAAUAAUAAAAUAAUAAUUUAGAUUACUUAAUGAAACAAUAAGUAUUUAUGAUAAAUAAGAUACAUGGAAUAAACUAACCUCUCCGCUUAUCAUUUUCUCUAUUGUGUUUUUUUUUUCCUCUGUCUCUCCUUCUUGUUGUUUAGUAGAUGACACAACAUUUCAUUUUGUUUAUUCAAUUUGCUAUUGGAGCAUCUUUCAGGAAAGUACAGAAAUGUAAAUAUACAGCUAAUAUUAUAUUUAUGAAUUAUUUAUAUGUACAGUACAUACUAAGUAACUAAAAUAAGACAAAUGAAAUAAUAAAAAUAAAAAUAUAAAUUAGAUAAGAUCAAAAAUAUCAUAUGAUCAAUCUCUUUCAUCACCAACAUCUAAAACAUUAUUGCUGUAACGUUAUACAUUAUGUACGAAACAGGAAUGUAAGCACAGUAGUAAUAUAAUGUUAUACAUAUCAAAAUUAUGUCUACAAAUAAAAAGUAAAUUGAAAAAAGAUUAGUGAAAUAAUAAAAAAUAUAAAUAUAAAUGAUAGAUCAAAUAUAUCAUAUGAUCCUAAUUUAAUAAAUCAAUAAUGCCUUAGUAGACAAUAUAGUUUAUGGUAGAGAAUAUUACUUAUCCUCUUAACAUUGUUUGCUCAAUAAUCUUUACUUUUGAUCCAAGCAUCUUUGAUCCAAAAAUUGGUAGAGAAUAUUACUUAUUAACGUUAUAAAUCCAUCCGCAAUUAAUAAAGGAUCACAGCAUAUUCAAAAAGCAAUUAAUUUCUAUUUAGAUUUUUAGUACUCAUGCGAAAUAGAGAAACAAGAUAUGUGCGUAUGAAAUUAUUAUGGAUUACAAGCUACUCGAUCAAAACUCGGAAUCAAAUAAUUGAAUGGGUGUCGAGCACGCUUGUGGAAAGAGUCACGGCACGAGCUCCCCUUCAUCAUCUCUAAAAAACCACACUUCAAAUAAAAAUAUUUUUUUUUCCUGCAAAUUACUUGCAUUCAUAACCAACUAUUUUUUUUAAUAGUUAUCAUUCAUGACUUCCUCUCUAUCCAAAAUAAAUUUGCUUAAAUUUAAAAUAUUAAAUUAUUCUUUUUCUAAUUUUUAUUGAUUGAACCUUAUUUUUAAAUUAAGAUUACUUUCAAAUUAUAAUUUGGAAUAUGUGUAAUGAAGUCCUAAUUAUAAUUUAAUAAGUCAUAAUUAUAAUUUAAAGUAUUUGUAAUUUAAGUCAAUGAUUUAUAUUAAAAAAUUCAUCACUGAUAAUUUGUAUAUAGGAUAGAUUGCAAAUUAACAAGAAUGUUAAAGAAAAGAAAAAUUAGAAGAGUGUAUUAAGAAAAAGGAUGUUUUUGGAAUUAAAAGUAAGAAUAACUAAAAAGAGAGAGAGAGAGAAGGUUUCAUGACAAUAUUAGAGGGGUGGCACUAGUCCAGCUCCAUACAUAGAAAUUACAAAGAAUCAACAAGAUAAUAACAAAAACACAUCCCAUACUCACAAUAUCCAAUUAGAGGGGCACCAAAUUUUUUUUGGCGAAAAUCCUCCAAUGCUCAAGUCAGUAAUUGGGUCUCUUUUAGAAAAACUUGUAUCACAAACUCAUGGCUUAAUUAUAUCAAUUGAAAGUUAGAAAUCUUAAUUCUCAAAAGAAGAAAAAUAAAUGGAGAGAAUUAUCGAGAGAGAAAAAGUCAAAGAGAGAGAAAAUAUGGAAAUAAAAAAAAAAUUGUCCAGCCCUUUUUACCUCCCAUUCUCCGUAGCUUUUAUACCCAACCUGAACCAUCGACUCCAUCUUCCCCACGAUUACUGUUGGCUUGGAAGUGAAAAGCGUGCUGUGUCUUUGAAAUCAUGGGUCAAUGGACAAUGUAACUGCCGCUGAAUGGGCUUUGUGCCCGAGUUUCUUGGAGACAAACUACGUGUUGGCCUUUGAUCAAGCCUUCGAUCUGACUCGAUUUUGGUCUCUCCUCGCAUGCCCUCAGGUCUGCUAUAUAGUACUCGUACGACCAGUAUUCAGAUUUUUUUGAUACAAGCAGUGGUCAAUAGAGUCAACUAAGAUAAAACUUAAAUUUCCCGCCCAAACAAAAACUAACAUACAUAAAGAAUUCGAAUCAUCCUUCAAUAAUAACAUAAAUAGCAACUACUGAGGCUAGUAAUUUGAUCAUUUCUGUAUUUGUCAAUGCAUUAUGGAUUCUAAGACCAGGCUCUAAAAUCAGCAAAUCCAAAAAUUGUUGAUAAUAUUACUUAGUAAGGUUACGAAUCCAUCCACAAGACAGCUGUAAAUAGUCAUAUAUCCUGACAUAUGAACUUUUUAUAUGAUUAAUAAAGGAUAAUAGCAUAUUCAAAAAUCAAUUUCUACUUAAAUUCAUAGUAGUCAUGCAAAAUAGAGAUAGUGAAUGUGUAUAUCACGGUGCAGAAGUAAACAAAGUAUGCAAGCAUGAUAAAACAAAGUUCAUGAUAUGUGCCUAUGAGAUUAUUAUAGAACGAACCUGCUAUAAAAAAAUGAUGCAGUGACUAAGCUGGAAGAAAAGGCCACCUAAGAUGUGAAUUUGCUGUUAUUUGAUUCAACUCUUCGGCAUGGCUCUUGAAGUUUGAAUCAGCCUGUGGCAGGCGAGUGAGCAAGCUGAUAUUGCUGUUGUAGAUAGCUGAAUCUUAUCAACAUUCUUCUUCCAUCUGAAUCUUGAGUGAGCAAGCCUAUGCCCUUAUCAACAUUCUUCUUCCAUGAAUCUGAAUCUUUCGGUCGAAGAUAUUGAUAGGAAUGCACAUAGGAGUAAUACGGUACUGCAUGUUCUAAAGGCAAAUAUUAAUUUUGUAAAGUACCUUAGCGAUUCUGCUUUUGCUAACUUUUUUACUGUCUCCACUGCACUCUGUUCCACAUAGUCGAAAUCAUUCUGCAUUUUGGCCCGAUUCUAACAAGACAAUCUAACUUCCAAGCUUUCAACUUUUCCCAAGGUCUCUGGCACAUUUUUAAGUUUGGAGCAACCACAGAGAUACAACGUUCUAAGAGAUCUCAAACCAUUUAUGGUACUUGGACGACUCUUGAGAUUUUUGCAAUCUUUCAAAUUCAACAAGACAUUGCCAGAAAGAAGUUCAAUAGAUGCUGGCAAUCCUCUUAUAGCAGUUCCUUCCAAAUGAAGCUCCAAGAGCUGAUCCCUGCUUGAAGUUUUCUCUGGGAACUCUCUGAAUUUCAAAGGGCUGGAGAGAUUCAAAGUUGAUAGAUAUUUUACAGCACUUAUUGUCCUUGGAAGACACUCAAGAUUUUUGCAGCCAUUCAGAGUCAACUGCGCAAGUCCAAAUAGAAGUUCAAUUGAUAAUGGCAGUUCUUUAAUAUCAGUUCCAUCCGAAAGAACUUCCCACAAUGUCUAGAAAUUCCUUCAAUUUCCAGCAACCAGAAAGAACACGUGUCUUAAGAGAUUUCAUAAAGAUCUUGCCUGGAAGAGUUGAAAGACUUGUACAACCUUUCAAAUUCAACAGAAUCAGCUUCUUUGAAGCAGAAAAAAUGAGUGAAUCUCCUGCAACCUUGUAAAUCUUUCAGAAAUCAGCUCCCCUAAAUUUGGUACUCUAGUGAAGUCUGAUUGGUCAUAUUAGAAAAGGCUUUAGCACUGACAUGCAUCUCUUUGAUGUUAAAGCGAUCAAAUAUGAUGCUUCAACUACAUCAGUUUCCUAAACACUAUAACAAAAAAUAAGUGGGAACAAAAAAAAAAUGAAACAAAGAAAAUAUUGAUAAAACUAUGCAAAGGUUUAACUAGUUAAAUAAGUGAUCAUGAUCCCAAAAUUGCAAGUUUUCAACCUAACUGAACAUUUACUUGUGCUUUGUGAUAAUACAUGGCAUAUAUCUGCUUUCUCCCACAAUCUAUUGCAGUUUCUAGGCUCCUGAUGGGAUUGCCUCCUAACAAUUUGUCUACCCCAUUUCUUGUAACUACUCAUGCAUCCACAGUCCGCUGAAAUCAUCUACAGUUAAUAGAGAUUUUUCAAUAGGACCAACAAUUUCAAUAAUUGGGUCAAAAUCACAAUAUUUGAGAAUUUUUGUCACAUAAUCUCUGUACUUCCCUUCAUAGAAACAUGCAAGAUCGAGAAAUAUUUUCUUCUCUGUUUCUUUUGACCCAUCAAAACUUAUUUGAAGUACAUCAAGAAUCUCAUUCUCAGGAUCUCCCUAUAGUCAUUGUAGUAUAAUUCUGAAAAUAUUUUCUUCUCUGCUUUGGAAAUUAAUGAUCUUCUUCUUCAUAUUUAUUCUGAAAAUUCAAAAACAUAAAUGAAAAUAAAGAGAACUGCAUGGCAUAAAACUUACAACUUUGAUUAUGUCGCAAGCAGCAUAGUAAUCAAAAUUUUUUAAAUAUCAACUACAUGUCAACGAUGCGGAAUUCCAAGGCAUCUUCUAUUAAACAAAAACAAAUAAUAAGAACCAACAGUUGUCAAUUCUUAUCAACAAAGUCUUCAAAUUGACAUUGUGAUCUGUUGUUUAACGAAAAAAAGGAAAAUCAAUUCCUAUGAACUAAGUCCUCGGACCAAAAUUAAACAUGGAGGUGGAGAAAAGAAAAAUCAAAAUCAAAUGUUGAAUCCUCUUGAUUGUUUCAUGGAUAAAUCUGAUCUAGAUCUGAGUCCAUAUUUAACAUAUUCAUCUACCCAUUUUCAGACAUACCAUGAAUUGUAAAUUAAGCCAAAGAUUCGCAAAAAGCAACAAAGAAACAAAAAACAGAUUCUAUGUUCAGCCACAAAUGGGCUAUUUCACAGCCAAGCACAAUGGUUAAGGAAGAUUGCUAGUAAACAAAUGAAGAAAAUUAAUUGCUUUUCACAGGUUCAAGAAUUAACACUAUUAUUGAUUGCUUCUCUAGUGGAAGAAAUAAUUUUGAAUAAAGCACAGCAUCAUUCCAACAAAUGUGACGAUAUUUUUUUCAUUCAUUCCAUGGCCGGACUCUGUUUUAUGUCUAAAACUCAAGAAAUUCUACAAUUCCUUCUUUCUACCACAUCAUUCACGAAACAACAAAUAAUCAAAUUCUGUCAUGUAUAUUUCUAUUUAGAAAUUUGCAAAAAGGUUAGCCGCUAGAAAAAGAAAAUAAUUGAUUAGAUAAACAUUGGGUUUGCACUGUGUUUGUGGUAAAAUUCUGUUAAAGACUAAAGACUCUCAGAAUCUGCUCACUAGCUAUGACUCAUGCAAGACAAACCUUCACGAAUUGACCUUGUUGAUUGAUUGCUUUUGCUUGGGAAACCAUAGAGUUGAUGCAACACAUCAGGUGGGAUGCACAUUCCUUCGUAGGCAUAUUAUCGAACACGUCCUAGGCACGAGAAUUAUACCAUAAUUCCUCAACAACUCCUCUCUUGAACCUGGCCUGCAAAUUCCAUAUAAUCAUUCCUUUGUCUAUUUAUCGUUUGUUCUGAGCCCAAAUCAAGCUGAGAUCGAUCAUAUUCAUAUUCAACAUAUGUGCACUAAGCAUAGUAACCUCAAUUCCGAGGUUCAAGUAUUUAAACCCAUAAAAAUUCACAGAGGAAAUGACAAGGAAGAGCGUGAGCUCAAUAAACACUCUAACUCUUCGCUCUACCACGGUUAACAAACUUGGACACGUCACUAACCCUUAACUGAUUUAUAACAGAUUUUUGAAUAAAUAGAAUGUAAAUGAAUUAUCAUGUGCAAAAUAACAUUUGAAUUUGAGAUGCGCGCGGUGAUAAAGUCAGAUAAUAGUAAAAAUAAAAUAGUCAAGAAUAAUAAAUUUAUAUUUUUUAUAUUAAUAAUAUAUUUAUAUUUAUUUUUAAAAUAUAAUAUCAAUUUUUGGCUUACUAUAGUCAAGAAUAUAAUAGUAAAAAUAAAAUAAAAUAAAAUAAAAAUUACACAAAAAAUAAAUAAGCAUGUCGAAAUUGUAAAAAGAAGUCAACUAUUAUGUGAUCACUUAAGUUAUAGUUACGUAUGAAUCAAAUUUCUACUUUAAUUGAUCUUGCACAAUUUUAUGUUAUCCUUUCUUUAAUGAAAAGAAAAUACCAUACCGAAAAUCCCAAAAUAUAUCAGAAAAUUUUACUUUCCACAUCCUGACGGGAGAGUGUACCUGAGCAAAUCUUAAAUAGAGAGGAUUUUUGUAAGUAAAUGAAUUCCAAUGAAGUACUUUGCUUUAAGAGAACUUAAGCUAAUCAGGGAAGUAUAUUUAUUUUAAGGAAAAGCAGAGGAUUUUUAUGAGUAAAUGCCUCUUAAAUUGAAAGAAAACAAAAGGAUUCAAGAGCCUACCUUUCUUGAUGAGUCCUGCAGUGGAAUGAUCGAAUGUUGGAUCACGUUAAUGGCCGAAAGAAAAUCACAAGUGGAAAACUUCCUUUUGAUCACAAUAUAAAUGCCUUCUUUCUUCAAUGGAUUGUUCAAUGUUCUCUUUUUUUCAGCAUAUGGAUAAGAGAAGAAGUUGAAGAAGCAAUUGUUUUUUUUUGUGUUGUUGGGGGAAAAAAUGUGUACUCACAUUGAGUUCCAACUCAACAAGUACCGAAAAAACUGUACAUAAAUAAUCAAAUUAGCAAAGAAGAGAACAUAAUCUCCCUCUAAUAUUGACUGAGUGAGUGAUUAGGAACACUUAAUCUAUCACAUCCAAAAAAAAAAAAGAAAAAGAAAAAAAGAAACACUUAAUACAUAAUAAUACUUAAUACAUAAUAAUGUAAGACAAACAUUCAUGGGAAGCAAUGUUGGAAUACAAAACUGCGAGAAAACUUAAUGCUUUGAGCGUGUUGGACGCACUGAAAGAUGAUGAAAAUUUACCUUGCCAAAGAUAAUUCCUCUUUAUAAAGGAGAAAUGUUCCAGUCCGGAAUUUUAAAGUGCGGGAAAGUGCAGGAAAUCUUUAAAACUGCAUGGUUUUAAAGGCUUAAACUGUAAGCCUUUAAAACCGUGCGGUUUUAAAGCUUUCCCGGACUUUCCCGCACUUUAAAAUUCAUGACCAGAAAACUACUACUUUAUAAAGAUCUUUUCAAUUUUGUUUGUUUCAAAGAAAUCAACGAGAGGAUUUCAUGCUUUCUAAUUAAUUCCUCCAAUAAAUGUAAUAAUAUAUACAUUGUAACAUAAUUUCAAUACUUAGAAAAUAUUUUAAUAUUUUACAAUCUAUUAGAUAUAUUUUAUUAUAUAACAUAAAAUUUUAUAAUAAAUAGAAUCAUAAUAUUAAAACAAGUGUAUUAAAAUUUAAAUUAUUUUGAAUAUUAUGGAAAAUAAUAAUAACAUUAGUAUGUGAGACUUUGUUAUUGUAAAAUAUAUUUAAUGCAAAUAUUUAUUUAAAAUAUCUAAAAUAAAUAAAUAUAUUAUUAAAUAAAUAUAACAAUUUAUAUAUUUAAAUUUAUUAAAAUAUUAAGUUAUUUUAAUAUUCUUAGUCUAUUGCGUAGAUUACAUUAUUUAUGUAAUAUUUCUAUUUAUUAAAAAUUUUAAAUUCAAUUUUUUAAAUGACAUAAUGGUCAAAAAGGGGUCUUAGUGUCCCUUUUUUAAAAGUUGUGGGUGUUGGUGACAAUUUCUUCAAAUUUAGGGGUUUACAUGUCCCUUUUCCUUAAAAGAAAGAAUAAUUAAAAAAAAAUGGGUAAAAGCUCGUUUAGUCCCUAUAUUUUGAAGUUAAUGUCCGUUUAGUCCCUAUAUUUUUAAAAAUACUUCAAAGCAUCCCUAUCAUUAAAUUAUUGACAUUCUUGCCAUUAUCUUUUGUUCAUUUUGACUUAUUUUUACAAUAUUACCCUAUUACAAUAAUGUUCCUUUUUUUAAACAUUAUUAAAAAGAAAAAUUAAAUUAUCAGUUUAACACUAAAAAAUAAAAUAAAAACAAUAUAUACAUUAAUUUUUGUGGAACACUCUGCUGAGAAGUUAAAAUAUUAAUUUUUAAAAAAAAUUGAUAUCUUAAUUUUUUACAAAAUUAAAUUUUUUUGGACACACAUGAGCUUCCACAAAAAUUAAUAUAUAUCUUUUUUGUUUUUUAUUUUAUUUUUGGGUUUAAUUUGAUAAUCCAAUUUUUUUAUUUAUAUCUAAAAAAGAAACAUUACUGUAAGAGUGUAAAAUUGUAAAAGCAUGCUAAAAAAAUAAAAAAUAAUGGCAUAAGUGUCAAUAUUUAAUAGUAAGGACGUUUUGAGGUAUUCUUAAAAAUAUAGGGAUUAAAUGGGCACUAAACUCAUAAUAUAGGACCAAACAAGCUUUUACCCAAAAAAAAAGUCUAAUGAGAAUAUUAGAGGGGUGGCAAUAAUCCAACUCCGUGAAAAAGAAUCAACAAGAAAAUAAUAAAAGAUAUUUUUGAAAUUAACUCACGCAUCCGUUAAAGAUCAAGACAAGAACUUAAGUCUUAGAAAAGCUUAGCUGUGAAGCUAGACCUCAACUUCAUGUGAAAUUUAAAGUAAAUUUUCACAAAUAAAAAGUAAAUGAAAUACCAUAUGCAAAUUUAAAGAACAUAAAUUGAAAUUGGGAUGCGUACUCUCACUGUUACACCAGGCCUUACCCUUCAUUUGAGUUGUUUAAAUCUUUUAGGUGGUUGUUCGUCAUCAUCAUCACAGCAGGCAGCAGCCACUGCCACUGGCUUCAGCUGCCACUGCAUUUUCUGCAAGGCUUCGCUUUGAUGUUGUGGCUACUUCCAUUUUUGAUCCAACAAAAUUAUGAUGGGAUUCAUUCAUAUUUGAACGUCAUAGUGAAUGCUUAGGGACAUGAAAAACAAAGCAAAUAGCAUAUCCCACAACCUUCUUUGUAUUAUACAAAUAUGAAGGCCUUGUGACUGUUUUUGAAGAACCCUCAUUCUGAUACAUGAACCACUUUGGAAUUUCACUUCCUGGAACAACGAUGUGCAAACGAUGGCUUGGAUCUGACAUUGCCUGCAACAAAUGGGCUAUUUCACAGCCAAGCAAGAAAACAAAUGAAGAAAAUUAAUUGCUUUCCACUGGUUCAAGAACUGACACCAUUAUUGAUUGCUUCUCUAUUAGAAGAAAUGAUUUUGAAAAAAGCAGAGCAUCAUUAAAACAAACGUGAUGAUAUUUUUUCAGUCAAUAUUAAAUUAAUAUUUUAUUGAAUUUUCUACGUGAAAAAAAAAAAAUUGUGGCAAUAGAUGUAUCAUAAAGUUGCAGCAUAAUUGACUUUAUUGAUUAACUGGGAAAUCAUAAAGUUGAUUUUGUUGACUGUUUGAUUCUGAUUGCUUAGGAAAUCACAAAGUUACAGCAACAGAUGCAUCAUGUCGUUGCUCUCCAACAGGUUAAAAAUUUAUUUAGUCCUUAUAUUAUGAGGUUAGUGUUCAUUUAGUUCUUAUAUUUUUAAAAAUACCUCAAAACGUCCCUGAUGUUAAAUAUUGGCCCUCUUGCCAUUAUUUUUAUUAUUAUUUUAGCUUGUUUUUACAAUAUUACACUUAGUAAUAUUUCUUUUUUGGAUAUUAAUAAAAAAUUAAACUAUCAAAUUGAACCCAAAAAUAAAAUAAGACAAAAAAGAUAUCUAUUAAUUUUUGUUAAAGCUCACGUAUGUCCAAAAAAAUUAAUAUUGUAAAAAAUUAAAUUAUCAAUUUUUUAGAAAAAUUAAUAUUUUAACUCCUCAGCAAAGUGUUCUACAAAAAUUAAUGUAUUUUUUGUUUUUAUUUUAUUUUUUGUGCUAAACUAGUAAUUUAAUUUUUUUUAAUAAUGUCUAAAAAAAGAAACAUUAUUGUAAUAUGAUAAUAUUGUAAAAACAAGUAAAAAGGAACAAAAGGAAGUGGUAAGGGUGUCAAUAAUUUAAUAGAAAGGAUGCUUUGAUGUAUUUUUAAAAAUAUAGGGACUAAACGGACACUAACUUCAAAAUUUAGGUACUAAACAAGAUUUUACCCCUCUCCAACAUACCAGGUGGAUGCAUUCCUUCUUGGGUAUUUUAUCAAACAUGUUCUGGGCAUGCUCUUGACCUGCAAUUCUAUAUUAAAAGACGAACGAGGCCGGCCCUGGGUCAAUUGUUUUAAAGUUUUUUAUUUUGUGAUCAAUUACUUUUAAAUAAAUCCAAAAUAAAAAUUCAUUUUUUUAUUAUUUAGUCUAAUAAUAGCAAUCUGAUUUCCUCUCUGUAAUUUUUAUUUUAGGAUGCCAUCUAGUUGAGAUACUAUACUUAUUAUGUUGAAAACAAGAUAUUCGGAAUUCUAAAAUAAAAAUUACUUUUUUUUGUUUAUUUAUUCUAAUGUUAUGUUUGUACUUAUUUUAAAAUUUAAAAUCAAUUUUAAUAUUACUAUAAUUAAAAGGUAUAAUAGCCAAAAAAAGAUAUUAUAAUGGAAAAAGGAUAUCUACACCCCCAAAGUUUAGAGAAAUAAUCAUUGACAGCCACACAUUUUUAAAAUGGAACACCAAGACCAUCUUUUAACAAUAAUACCCUUUAACCUCUAUUAUCCAAAAAACAAUCAACUCUAAUGUUUUAUAAUAAAUAGAAAUAUAACAUUAAAAUAAAUGUAAUAAUGUAUAUGUUGUAAAUUAAUUUCAAUACUUCAAAAAUAUUUUAAUAUUUUGCAAUCUAUUAGAUAUAUUUUAGUAUAUAAAAUUAAAUUUUAUAAUAAAUAGAAUCAUAAUGUUAAAACAAGUGUAUUAAAAUUUAAAUUAUCUUGAAUAUUAUGUAAAAUAGUAAUAACAUUAGUAUGUGAGUUUUUUUAUUGUAAAAUAUAUUUAAUGCAAAUAUUUAUUUAAAAUAUCUAAAAUAAAUAAAUAAAUAUUAUUAAAUAAAUAUAACAAUUUAUAUAUUUAAAUGUAUUAAAAUAUUAAACUAUUUUAAUAUUCUUAGUCUAUUGCGUAGAUUACAUUAUUUAUAUAAUAUUUCUAUUUUUAAAUGGUCAAAAAGGGGUCUUGGUGUCUUUUUUUAAAAAAAGUUGGGGGUGUUGGUGAACAUUUCCUCAAAUCUGGGGGGUGUGGAUGUCGUUUUUCCUAUUAUAAUUGCUAUAUUAGAAUGAGAGAAAUAAAAAACCAACAAGUACAUAUUAAUGAUACGAAAGUUUUCAGAUUACAUAAUUCAAAUGAAUAUAUAGUUUAUCAAGAAAUCAAAAAUCCAAGUUGGAUUGCAAUUUCAAUUAGCUAAUAGCGAAACAUGAACAUAAUACUAAGCAUGAGUAUAAAAGGGCUUUGCUCUUUAUUAGAUUUCUUAAAUUCUUGUAGCAUGAGGUUCUUCAUCAUCAGUAAGGCUUCGCUCAAAAAGAAAAAAAGAAAAAAUCAAAACACAAACACAAUAUCUAGAGAUGUUUAGAGAGAAAAUUGCAAGCAACAGAAUGGGCAUCAUACAAUAUACCUCAUCGGUCAUCAGCUUAUUAUGGGUUUGUAAUAAUUUCCCGCCCUUUCUAACCGAUUUAACAGCUACAUGCUGACACUAAUGCUCUUCAAAACGACAGUAUUUUCAGGUCGUUUGAUCAUUAUGUAUAAGUGAGUGCACGUGACCAACGCGUGCACUCACUUACUAAGUUUAGACGACUUGAGCCAGACGUCGUACACGAGUCCUCUAGGAGUAAUCGAGAGAUCGUAUGCAAAGAAACAUCAAUUCAUACUAUCAUUUAUUAUUCAGCCCACAUUGCGUCUGGUCUGGGAAUUAGAUUCUGGUUCAUUCUUGAACAAUAGGCAUAAGUGGCAACUAUCACUUGGGAUUUCUCCUCCUUCCACUGGUAGAUUACAGUCACUGAGAUCCCAUUUUGUUAAAGAACAUAAGCCUGAUAGAGAAGGUAACAUCAAAUUAGUCAUGGGAUCUAAACUCCUUCACAUCAUAUUGGUAGGGAAGCACAAAUCCCAUGAUGUAGAUGAUAGUGGUCCACUGGUUUAAGAUUCUUCAAGAUAGAAACAGACGUCGGAAGUUGCCUAAUUGCUGUUCCACUAAUAUCAAGCUCUUCCAAGCUAUCUACUUUCCCCAAGUUCUCUGGCACAUUUUCAAGUGUGGAGCAGCCAGAGAGAUUCAGAAUUUUAAGAGAUUUCAAACCACUGAUGGGACUUAGAAGACACUCGAGAUUUUGCCAAUCUUUAAAAUUCAACACAACAAGGCCAGUUAGAUAUUCAACUGACAAUGGCAAUUCUCGAAUAGCAGUUCCAUCUAAAAUGAGCAUAGUUAGAGAUUUUAAACUUCCCCAAAACUUUUCCAGCUUCGAGCAACCAGAGAGCGUUAGAGUUCUUAAACAUUUUAAUCUACUUAUAGUAAUUGGAAGACUCAAGAGAUAUUUACAACCUUUUAAAUUUUGCAAAAAAUGCCAGAGAGAUAUUCAAUUGACAUUGGCAAUCCUCUUAUAGCGGUUCCCAACAAUCGAAGCGCCAACAGAUGUUCCAUACGUCCCAUGAUCUCUGGAAACAAUCUGAAUUUCAAAAGGCCAGAGAAAUUCAAAGUGGAAGGAAAUUUUAGAGCACUUAUGAAAUUUGGAAGACACUCAAUAUUUUUACAACCUUUCAAAUUCAACUAAACAAUUCCAGAUAAAAGUACAAUUGAUAAUAGUAGUCCCUUAAUAUCAGUUCCAUCCAAAAGAAGCUGCCGCAAAAACUUCAUAUUUCCCACAAUCUCUGGAAAUUUCUUCAACUUUGAGCAACCAGAAAGUACCAAUGUUUUUGGAGAUUUCAUAAAAAUUAACCUUAAGUUCUGAAAAGUCAUAUACCAUGCAUUCGACUACUUCAGUUCCUUACAAAUCAUAAAAGCAGAUGAUAAGUGCAGACUAGGAUGUGAAGAUGUCCAUAAAAUUAUUUAUGCAUAGAUUUAAAGCAUAGAAUGUCAAGCAAAACAAAUGUUUGAUAGAAUGAGCAAUAUGCUCAAUGAAAUGCCUCUAUGAGUCAAGCAUGUCAGAUGACUCAUAAGAGUGAUUCAGCAAGAGAUGAGAAUAAUUUGGAAUAGUCAUGAAGAUAAGAUCAAAGAUUGAAUUAAGCAAAUGUGGGCAGACCUUUCUCAGGGCACAAAGUCGUUUCCUUCGUAUCAAUGUAACGAUGACCAAAGGAUCUCCUUAAAAGCCUACAUUGUGAAAUUGAUAGCUUGGGCAAAGGAAAACAUUUUGUACGUGUAUCAUUAAAAAAAUGAAUAAAAUGUAGGCUGCAUUACAGAAUAUGUUUUACUUUGCAUUAUAUAAUGAUAGCAAUUUUAUACUUCAUUUCUUGACUUUUAGAAUCACGAACUCAAAAUACAUGCAUUGCACUUUGUCACUUACCCUUUUUUUUGUUAACACAUGAUGUACAUCUGUUAUGUUCCACAAUCUGCUGCUGUUGUUCAGCUAAUGUUCUUACAACAUUAGCUGAUUGGUUUACAACACUUUCGACAGCUACACAUAUCCUUUCCCUGGCUGAUUGGUUUUGAAGGCUUUCAUACAAAGAAGUCCAAGAGCUUCAUCAUAGUAUAGUUGCUUAAGGACCAACAAUUCGUCCACUCUAUGUGUUGUCAACGAUGCUUAUCUCUAGAUGUUAUGAUGAUCCUGCUGCCUGAACUUUCUAGCUAACCUUUUUGUGUCGUAGCCCACUUCGAAUUAUGUUGAUAACAUUAUAUACAUUCCAUUUUGUUAGGAAAUCUGACCUCUUUUUUCUGAGGUUUAUCUAACGUUGGCAAGAAAACUACUUACUUCAAAUUCAUGAUAGAUCAAGUUAUAAACAACCUUUGCAAGAGCUGCCUUACCUAUACCUCCGAUAUCACAGAUCCCUAUCAUACGAAUAUCAUUAGGCCCUUUAUCCAUUAGAAUCGUUAGCUUCUCCAAGUGUGAAUCCAUUCCUACUAGCUCUUUAAGAGUCUCUGAUUUUAAAGGAAUUUUGCUUGAUAUCUCAUUGACAAUCUCCAUAAUAAAGUCUGAUUCAUUCCUGCGGGUUGAGUAGAACAAGAAAAGAUUUGUGUUGGUGAGCUAAAGCUAGUGUGAGCGUAACGUAGUGUCAAAAAAUUAGAUAAUAUAGAUCUACAAAACGGAAGUGAUAAAGUCAUAACUUGUGUUUGAUUAAUCUCUAGGUUAUUCUUCAUGUAACUCUUCUCUAAUUUCGUCUAUAACUCUUCGUAUGUAGAUAUUCAUUGAUCAAGUUAUUAUUUCAAUUAAAUCCUAUGAUUUUAACAAAUUCUUAUACAUUUAUUCUAUUGUCUCUCCCUGUUCUUAUGCCUAAAACUUGAUAAAUUCUAGAAUCCCUCUGCUCUACCACAUCAUUCACCCAACAACAUAGUAUAAAAUCUUGUCAUGUAAAGUUUAUUGGAAAAUUGUAGGUAAGUUGGUUGUUUCAAUAACGAGAUGAAUAUGAACGCUAUUUUGGUAAAAUCUUAUUGUUGAUACAAAUAUGCACAUGCACAUGCACACACUGAACAUGAAACUAGUAAAUAAAUAUACUGAAUAAAUAUUGGCAGUUUUUUAAUAGUGGAGAAAUCCAGACAUCUUCUCACUUAUUAUGAUUCAUGCAGAACAAACAAAAAUUAGUUGAUCCACAUCUUAGAAAAUUAAUCAUUGAGAAUAAGAAUGAUUACCUAUCUUUCAAUUCCUAGCCAAAGAUAUUAGCCACCUCUUGCAGAGCGCCUCUCCAUUUUUGCACCUUUUCUAUAUUCUCCUUCAAGAACUUCUUCAUGAUUAGCAAUCGCUUCUUGAAAACUUCCUAUAUGUUUCCUUACCACUGUUGGUUCAACAUCAUAGAAAAUUGGAAAAACCAAUUGUUGGCGAACAUGACGUGUUCUUCCAUUCAACAAUCUUAACAAGUUCAUCCAAGCACCAAGUUGAAGAAGCACAGUUUCUUGAGAAGACAAUAACUGAAAUUCUUGAUUCUUCAAUUACUUUAGACAGUGUUGGUGAAAUGGAUAUUCCCCUUUCACGUUCUUUUUCAUCACUGAAUACAUUAAUUCCAGUUUUAUUCAAAGUGGACUAGAGGUGAUCUGAAAAGUUCUUGCAGUGCGGGUGUCUUGUCUUCACCUCUGAAGCUCAAGCAGACAUGGUAGUUCCUGGGAUGCUCAUGAUGCAAGCAAUUGACUCCACAACCUCUUAUUGCAAUAAGUAACUGGCUGUUAAAUAAUCGUACUUCAGCAAACGAAAAUAAAAUACCAGCAAGUAAAUUGAAACAGUGGAAAACACCCAGAGUAUACCAGUAAAGUGGCAACAGUUUUGGUUCUUGGCAACAAGAGAAAAAAAAAAUUCUCAUUCAACUGCUUUAAUUGAAUUUCUUAUGUGAAUAAAUUGUAGCAACAGAUGUAUCGUCUCAUUGUUCAACAUAUCAGGUGGGAUGCAUUCCUUCUUGGGCAUUUUAUCGAACAUAAUUUCUCAAAAAUUCCUUCCUUAAACUUAGCUUGCAAUUCCAUAUAAGGUGAGAUCGAUCAUCUACAUAUUUGUUUUUCAUCCUUCCAAUGCUUGAAUUUCUUCGAAAAUCCCUGCGAUAUAAUUUACUUGAUCUAGGUUGUUCUAACUUUUUUUCCUUUUUUUUUUUUGAUGAAUCCUCACCAAAGUGAGGAGGUUUUAUUAAAAUAAAAUAAAAAUAUAGCAAGAAAACCAGCCAAACUAAAAUUACAAAAGCUAGCUGAACAGAUAGCUAGGCAGCCUAAAAACAUCCUCAUGCAAAAGAGAAGCAACAUGAAGGGUGCAGAGUCCCACCAAGUAAAGGAAUCCACCAUGGCACCUAAAUUGCUCAAACAAUCAGCUACCCUAUCAGCCUCCCUGAAGACACGAGAAAAGCGCAACGUCAUGGAAUCCAUGAGAGCAAAACAAUUAUUCCAUCGAUGAAUAAGAAACCAUGGGUGGAAGCCGCUUGUUACAAAGAUGAAGCACAGUUAAAGCAGAUUCACAUUUGAUCCAUGACGUAGUCCAACAUUCAAAAGAAGCAUGCUCAAUCGCCAAGAUAACAGCAAACAGUUCAGCAACAAAAGCCGUUUCAACAUGUAAUGGACAAGAGAAAUCCCCCAGAAAUUCUCCCUCACAGUUUCUGAACACAGCCCCACAAGCGAAAACAUGCAAAGAACCUUCAGCGAUUUUUGACUAUAAACGUAAGCAGAUUUUUAAUUUUAAUAUACGCAUUAAUGAUUUAACUAAUUUUAUGUAUGUAUUUAUAUUUUUAAUUUUUUCUCAUUCCUUUUUAUGUAAGAGUGAGUUGAGGCUCGACCCCAAUUCGGCCUUUAAACUAAGACCUUGUUCCUUAUACAUGGGCCCAAAUGGGCUUGGGUCAUUUAUUUCAAGAGUAGCCUUUUGACAUCCCUUAAAAUUUCUUAUAAAACUCAUUUUCUAUUAAAACUACUUGAAUAACUAUAAAUAAAUAAUUUUUUUUAAAUUUUAAAUGGGAUUUCAAUUAAACACUUAAAUAAAUUAAGGUUUUAAUAAAUAAUUUACACCCACAUCAUUUCAUAAUUUAUAUCUAUAUUUAUGAGAAGAUAUUUAAUUUUAAUAAAUGAGUUUAUAUUUUAUAAAUUAAAUAAGAAGUAUUUUUGGAAAUAAAAUUCAAUAAGUGGUGUUGUCUAUUAUGUUUCAGAUAGAUCACCAAAACUAUUGGUGUGUUAAAACUUCACUUACUUUCAAAUCUUAUUGAAGACAAUAUGAAUUUGAUCCAACUUAAUGCUAGUUAAUAUGUUGGUUUAAUGCCUAUGUUGGGGGUGUCAAUGCCUUUGCAUUCAACCAUUUCAACUAUAGACAAUAGAUCUAUGCUGUAUUUUCUUUGUGAUAAAUAUACACAAUGUGCGUCUUGCAACACUUUAAUUCCAAGGAAAUAAGAUAAUAUUCCUAGGUCUUUUAAGGCAAAUGCUUUCCUAAACUGAAUUAUAAAACUUUUUAACUUUAUAGUACUUGGACUUGUAAUGAGUGUUUCUUCUUAUGAAAAGAGAGGUAUCCAAAUUAGUAUUAAUAAAACCCUAAUGGAAUAAACAGCUUUUUAGCUUAUCAAACUAAGCUCUAGGAACUUGUUUGAGUCUCUAUAGACAUUUGUACAAUUUGCACACAAACUCAGGUUUCUCAGCAUUAAUAAAGCCUUUCGGCUGACGCAUGAAUACUUCCCUAGUUAACUCUCCAUUAAAAAAGGCAUUGUUAACAUUAAUUGCCUUAUUUUCCAUUAGUUCAUCACUCCUAGGCUCAGUACCACUCUAAUAAUAGCUAAUUUAACCACUUGACUGAAUGUGUUAAAGUAAUUCACCCCUGCCACUUGCUAAAAUCCUUUAGCAAUAAGCCUGGAUUUAUACUUAGCUACAUUUCCAUCUUUGUUAUACUUGAUCCUUUACACCCAUUUAUUGUCAGCAACAUGAUGACCAGCUUGUCUUGGAAUUAAUGUCCAUGUAUUAUUCUUAACCAAAGCAUUAUAUUCUUCUUUCAUAGCUUGCAGCCCUCUGGAGUCAUCUAAUGCCUCUUGUACAUUAUCAGGUUCUUUAUGAAUGAGAGCAACAGUUGUUGUAUCUUUUUUUUUUGUUUUGUUUAUUCAAUAACAAAAAAACUGAUGUUAGAGCAUCUUCCAGGAAAUUAUAUACGAAAACGGAAACAUAAGUACAAUCAUAUUAUAUUCUUAAAUUAUGUCUACGAAUACAAAGUAAAUUAAAAUAAGAUUAGUGAAAUAAUAAAAAUGUAAAUAUUAAUGAUAGAUAAAAAAAAAUAGCAUAUGAUAGUAAUGCCUUACUAAACAAUAUUAUAGUAGAUGGCAAGUCUAGCUAUUUGAAGAGAACUUUAAAACCAUAGGCAUCUAAAAAAUUACCGAAAAUAAACUUUAUUAUACGCUAAUUAUUCCGUGCCAUUUUCCUGAGCACUUUUGUAUAUUUUAGAAAUGCAUACUUAAACAAUCUGAUCAAGUAUGAAAGCAUUUUCGAUUCAUGGAAGGUAACAACUUUGAAGAUGAUAUUUUGGUUUUGUGGUAAUUUAACAUAUAUGAAAUAAAAAUUGCCAACUGAAAUUGAUGAUGCAUGCUUACUGAAAUAUUCAGAGAAUAGUAAGCAGGCUUCUCCCUUUAUUUGAGUUUACUAAAUGGAUUCUUGAGGUUGUGGUUCCUGAUCACCUCAACAUAUGCAGUAAGGCUUCGCCUUGACGUUGUUGCUACAACCAUCUUUGAUGCAAAAAAAUUUGAGGGGAUGCAUUCAUAUUAUAAUUGGUAAAGCGAUUCCAUUGGAUUGUAGUUUUGUCAAACUCCUCCAUAUAAACUAGUGGAUAUCACACCUCUCACCUCCGAUCCUGGCAAGAACACACCCCUGAGAAGUUACAGAAUUUAUGAUUACAGUCCACAAAGCAUUUGUACUUUUCAUGGGAAUGAAUGGAAAAAAUAUUAUCUAUUUAUUACAGUCCACCGCAUGGUUUUAAAGUUUUUCCGGACUUUCCCACACUUUAAAAUUCUGGAUCAGAAAACUACCCUAUUUGGCAAUGACACAGUCCACAAAGCAUUUAUACUUUUCUUUGGCUACUAACACAUGAUAGAUUGAAAACGAAAACGAAGCUAAUGAGGAGGCAUAUUCCAAUAGGCAUUAUAUAUGAUCAUUAUGUUUUUUCGGUGAAGGAUAUGUUGCAUGUUCUUAGGGAUUGGAUCGUGGAAAAAAGACUUUGGAACCGAUUCCUCCCUGUGGCACAAUGCCAUCAAUUCUUUUCUCUUAAUCUAAAGGAAUUGACUUGUCAAAAUCUAUUGAGUAAAAGGCUGUUGGGUUCAAAUUUGAAGUGGAGUACUUUAUUUAGAGUACUUUGUUUGGAACUUUGCAAGUUCGUUAGUGAACAUCAAGCUUGCUUGGCAUUGUUAAAGUUUUGGAAAUAUGAUGGGUGACCUUCAAGUAGUUGGAAGAGUUAAAAAGCUCGACAAGAAAAAUUACAAUACGUGGGCAACAUUGAUGGAGUCUUGCUUACAAGGUCAAGAUCUCUAGGAGAUUGUUUGUGGUAACAAUAUGAGACCACUAACUGAGGAUGCCGCUUUAAAGAAGUGAAGCAUUAUAGCUGGAAGGCCAUGUUCGCCAUCAAGACUACAAUUGAAGAAGAAAUGCUGCAACACAUAAAAAAGGUUAAAAUACCUAAGAAAACUUGGGAUACUUCUACAAUGAGUUUUUCAAAGAAGAAUAACAUAUGGCUACAACUUUUGAAAAAUGAGCUACUAUCAAUUUUAUAAUGAAACAUGAUGAUUGACGAGUACUUAAACAAGUUAAAAUUCCGAUACCAUAAAAUUUCUAGGUUAGAUUCUACUGCUGUAAUUUCUAAAUUUAGAAUAAAGAGAAUUAUUGUCAAUGGUUUGAGGCUUAAGCUUAAGAGCUUUGUUACAACUAUCUAAGGUUGUCCAACUCAACCAACCAUUGAGAAUUUUGAAAACUUACUUACUGAUCAAGAAGUAAUUGACAAGCAAUUGAGUGGGGCCUUAGUAAUGGAUGAUGAGGAAAUGUUAUUUAUUGAUAACCCUACUAGAAAAAUGACUUUUACUAAUAUUAAGUUGCUGAUACUAAAUAAAAAAUAUCAAUAUUUGAUGACUUAAUUAACUUUUAGUGUGUUUUACAUAUUAAUGCCGGUGGUUAUUAAUAAUAUAGUAUCAUAAACUCUUACUGAUACUAAGAUAUAUAUUUUUAAUUUUAAUUUUAAUUUUUCUUAUUUCACACGACGUGGUUUUACUUUUAAAAUUAGGGUAUCUUAAAUUCUAACACUUGAGAAAUUUUUUGGCCUUAACGAAAGUACUAUUCCCUCUUCAUCUUGCCUCUCUCCCAAAUCCUUCCUACUCAUUUGAAGAAACCCUAAAUUGAAACAAAGCAAAUCACCCAGCCUUUUCAGUCUUAACAAAACAAUUACUCUCAGUCUCCCAACAAAGUAAAAUCAUCCUAGUUUUACUUUAUGAAGCGUAUGGGUCUUGAUUCUUCGGUCACCACCGAAGACAACCAAAGGAUAAAAAAAGUCAAACAAGAUGAGGAGGAAUAAGAAAGAGGAAGAGCAAGUCAAAGAAACUAGCUUCACAAAUCUAUAUGAGAACUCCCUGUUCGAGGUGUUGAAACACGCGGACACCAGGACUUCGUUGCAGGCGGCCUUGCGUCAACAAGCUAUGGCACAAGACACUCAAAAUGAGCACCUUUGGAAGUUAAUUUGCACCCACCACUUCGCUAACGUUGGGUGCGCUACCCAACAGCUCAGAUCUGUAGUCCUGGCUCUUGGUGGCUCCCGUCGCCUUCACUCCCUCUAUCUCGGUGGCUCCCGUCGCUUUCUCUCUCUGCCAUUCUUUCUCUCACAGUCGAAACCAAAACUCAAAUCCCUAACUCCCCAGCCACAAAACCUCUCAUUUGCCUCAAAACAAAACAAAAUCAAUCUGUACUCCUCUCUGAUUAUUCGAAAGUUAGAAGCACCUUCAAUAGUUCUCUCUGAAAAGCCAUUCACCUUAAAUAGUUCUUUCUAAUUUUCUCUUAAUUUCGACUGUGAUUUUAUUGUUUCUAUAGCUGUAGUUUGAUUAAUUUUGAUAAAUUUUGCUUGAUUUGAUGGAAAGCAUGAUUUAUUACAUGUCUGCUUGAGAUAAGCCGGUUAGUAAUUUUUUUAAAAAUAAUUAUAUGUAAUAUUUGUUUUGAUUCGCAUAUCGUAAACACGAUGUUAUUGUCUACUAACUAAUUAUAGACUUCGAUUUACAUUCACCUAAAUAGGAUAUGAUUAUGUAUCCUUUUUUUUUUUUUUGGCUGUUUGCUGAUUGUGUUAUUUAUAGUGUUGUUAUUGGCGGUUUAUAUGGUGAGUAGGGCAGUAUUUUAAUUGAAACAAUUAAAGAUAUGGGGAAUUAUUAGGUAGAAAGUGGCUGCAGGAGGAGGUUCUUCUAUUUCAGUGUGCCUAAAUAGUAUUCAUUUUGCCCCCUUUUUUUUUUUACUGCUGACUAUUGUUCCUUGUGAAUGCGUUUCUAAUCCAGAGACUUCGCCCUGUGGUAUCCACUUUGAGAAACUACUCAUCUGCAACUAAACAGGUAAUUGUGCCUUUUAUAACUUAUUACUUGUAAUGCACUGAUUUUGGCUGUAUGAUGAUUGUAUUCUUCUAUAUGUAUAGGCUUUUAUUAUUAUUAUUAGUGAAUCAGCUGAAUGCUUAAGAAAUUCUAAUACUAAUAGUUAUGUUCUUCAUUAUACUUACUAUGUAUGGAUUUUGAUGCAUUUUAAGAAGAAUAUGAAAUUAAAUAUUUGACUGUAGGGACAACAAAUAUGUUCGAGCUUUUAUUAGUAUAAUAGUAUGUGAAUUAAAAAUAUUAUAAUUUGAACAAACUCCGAAGCUUUGAAACUAUGCACUUUCAUGUUGCUAUUUGUGACAGUGGAUUUUGAUUGCUCUUUGUUAGCGACUCGCUUUUACUUGUUUGAUAAUGUUUAUAAUUCGUCCAUCUCAUUAUACUUGAAAGUUGGUGAUUCUAUGUAAUUUAUAAAUCCAACCGGUAUCUUUUUAUUUAAAUCGGUAGGCCAGAAGCAAAGCAAUCUUUUUAUGCAUUGGCUGUAUUAGUAAAUCACAUAGAUAAAAUCACAGGGUUUAUAUUGUUAUUUAUUUCUUUUCUGUUUGCAGGAAAAUUCCAAGGGAUUUGACAGAGGCAUCACUAUCUGGUGCAGGAUUAUCCAUAAUAGCAGCCCUUUCUAUGUUGUUUUUAUUUGGAAUGGUAGGUUGCCGCUUGCAUAGUUGUGCCUCUUUUGUCGGAUAUCAUGGGUGCAUUUUGCAUAUUCAGUGUAUAUUAUCGUCCACCUGGAUUGUUUGUGUAACAUGAUGCUUUCAUGGAGUUCUAUUUGGCUUUUCAUUGUUUCUAGAACAGAUUAAAUUUAACAAAAACUAUUCGCAAUUUUUCUAUAGGACCUGAUUUAAGACCCACUGGUUCUGAAUUCCACUCAAUGCUUGUUAUACAUUCGCUUAAGCAUGGAGAGGAAGCUGAUGAUGAUUCUGUUGAAGGUUCUCAUACGCUACCUGCCAAUAAUUUUGAUAGUUAUUCACACGAGUAAGUGAGCCUUCUCUGAACCACAACUUAUAAUUUUUAUUUUCAAUUCUGUGAUCACAAUAUUUCUCUGCUAUGUGGCAAUUGCAAUGAUGCCUUCUUUGAUUUGUAUUAUAUUUCCUUUCCAGGUAUCCUAUUUUAGCUGUCAAUUUUUAUGAUCCAUGGUGCUACUGGAGUAAAUGCCUGGUAUUUUUAUUUUCACCUUUUGUUUCUCAAAUUUUGUCUUGUUGCUUUUUGAUCAUUGUUGUCUAGAUUUACCUUAUUGGAUCUAUUCUUUCUCAUGUUUGUGUUGAUGUAAUUGCCAGAUAUAAUAUUUUAAAUUUAUUCACUUGGAUGUCAUGUUUGUGCCUGCUCAUAUGCACACAUUGCUCUGUUUGUCCACUGACAGUUGCACAUAAAUUCCUUCAUUACUUUGGUUAACUCCAUUGGUCUCUGUGUUUGUGUUGAACUUUCCAUGCCUGUUAUACAACCAAGCAUGGGUUUUCUUUUGUUUGUAUGACUGUAUUGUUAGACUUCCUCUCAUGAUGUUGUUAAUAAUUUCUCCUCUUUUUCUUGGACAACGGUUAAAAUAAUUUUUAUUGUUAAUAUAAUAUGCUUGUCUUGCAUGCAUUUAUAUGCCAUUAGGAAACUAUGUAGAUUUCAGCAUGUAAAUUUUAUCAGUUUUUUUAUUGUGCAUGUCUUGAAUGGUGCAGGAUGACUUACAAUAAACCAAAGCAUGUAUGUGGGUCAAAACUAAAUAAUCAGAGCAAAUGUCAAAUUGGAACAUGGAAACAAUAAUAAGCAUGUAUGUGUUGGAAGAUUGUGCUGUUACUAUAUAUCAGAUUAUAAAUUAUUUGUAGUUGGUAAACAAGGUAAUAAGUUUCAAACAAUGUAAUAAUUUUUAAAUUGUUCAUUGCAAUGUAAUAGUUUUCAUAUUGAUGAAUGUAAAUUUCAAUUCAAAUGCCAAUUGCAAAUGUUCAAUUUCUAUUAUAUGGAUUUCUAAUUUUUUUUAAUUUUUUCGCAAAUAAACAUUGAUACCAAAGUAUCGUUAUAUUUAUUAUGCUUUUGUAUCAUUAUUUGUUUGAUAACAUAGUCUCGUUAUAUAUGUGAUGUUCAAGCAUCAAUAUUUUUUUGAUACUACGGUGACAUAGAUUCGUUGAUACAAAAAACUCGUGUCAAUAAGUUUCUUGCACCGUAUUCAGUGACACUAAAUUCGGUGUAGUAAAACAAGUUCUUGAUACUAAAAUAGUAUCAAAGAAGGCUAUUUUUUUACUAGUGUAAAAAGAGACAUCGAUUCAGACAAUAUAGCGAUAAAGUAAUGUAGGAAGCAUAUUAGAUAAAAUAAAUUAGAAUUUAUUAGGAAUUAUAAUAUUUGGGUAUUUAGUAUUUUAUUAGAGUUUAUCUUAUUUUUUAAACUUAUUCGAUCAUGUUUGGAAUUUUAAUCUAAUUAGCAUUUUAAAUUAUUUAUUUUAUUUAUGAAGGAUUAAGAUUAAGUUGGCUACUUAGUAUAUAUAGGCUUCUUACUAAUAGUUCUUUAUAACAUACAUAAGCUUAUCAUCAAUAAUAUUUAAUAUUUCUUAAUUGAGAUAUUUUCUUCUUCAUAAGAGCCUUUUUUCUUGAAUUUUCAGAAACGUAUGUUAUAAUGAAAUUUAGUAUCGCUUCUGCGAUGCGUCAAGUGGUGUCAGAGUCUUUCUUUGUAUUAGGCAGAGCUUUCCUGACCAUCAACCAUUCCCCAUACACAAAUCCUCCCUCCAUCAUCCAUUGUUUUCAUUAAAAAAAAAAAAAAAGAAGAAGAAGAAGAAAAAGUUAGAAAAAUAGCAAAACCCGAAGCCACCUCACGUCCAUCGUCUGCAGCUGCUACCUCUGUCAUUCUUCACCUUUUUCAUGCUUUAAUAAAAUUUAACAUAAUGCUCACUAUUUUGUAUAUUAUUAAGGACCAUUGAAUGAUUAAUCAUGAAGUGUAUAUUAUUUUUCACAUCAAUUUAGCACAACCUAUACCAUGAAAUUAUGGAUUAUGUUACAGUGAAUACUUUUAUAUGGUAGGAAUAUAAGUUUAAGUUUUACAAGCCUAUUUUCAUUUAAUUUUCCAAUAUCACUUUGUUGAUUUCGUAAAGUUGAAAUUAACAUAAAUUCUUAAUUAGCUAUAUAGUUUAUGAAUCAUGAAAGAUUGUUUUGUUGAUAUUCAUUGAUUGUGGUUACAAAAUUUUAUGUCACUAAGAGGCUGAUUGCAUUUAUGAUGGUAAUUAAUAUAAUAAGUAAAUAUUAACUCCAAUAAUAUUCAUGAAAUAUUAUCUAUUUAUUUUAUAUUCUCGUUAUAAAAGCAUGGUUUUGGAUAUUUUAACUUAAAUUUUGACACAAAAAAUGAGCCAUUAAUCUCUCACAAUCUAAUGGUUAAUGUUAAAAGUCAAUCACCCUAAGAUUAAAUAAAUACUUUUAGGUUGAUCAAGUUCUUAACCAGCCAUAUGUUACUUUGACAUGGUCAAAAAUUUUUCUUGGUGUUUGUAUUUGCCAAGAUUACAUAAUACAUUUUCUUCUUGGCACAAGAAAUUUAAGCAUAUUUAUCUAGGCAGAAUCCAGAAGAAAUAUACUUAUAUUGAUUCUAUUAGUGACUCUCACAUAUUCAAAUAUGUAAAAAGAUAAGUAGUUAUAGCAAGAGAUUUUAUUUUAAUUGUUAAUCCUGACGUGAUAAUCAAAUCCAAUACCAAAUACUUUCAUUAAUUUUCUAUCUCUCUUAAAAUAUUUGAGUCCAAAAAUCCGCAAAAUGUUGAAUGUUAUUUACAAGUCUUAACAUAAUGUUUUUGAUCUGGCUAAUUAAUUAAGACUUAAGUGGUGGAGCAUUCAUUAUAAUUGAUCCAUGUUCUUCAACCGCAUCCACGUUAAAUUCAAAUAAUUUUUUUUAAAGAUCUAGGGAGUUUUGUUUUGUUAAGUUUGAAAAUAGUUAAAUAGUCAAUCUUAAGAUUUAUUUUUAAUACUAAUGUUAGACACUUACCUAGUAUCUUGAGUUUUUGAAUUAAAUGAUUUACUAAUUGACGAUAUUAGUGCUAAAGUUUCGUAUUUGAACUCUCCACAACAAGUUCAUUUGUAUCGAUUAAAUUAUGUUUCAAUUAUUUCUCAUUGGCAUGCAUCGAACUCUCUCAUGCUUGCUUUGUGUUAAUUUACGUUUUUUUUUUCUUCUAAUUCUGAAUCAUUUUUCAAGUCCAGUCCUUUUAUAUAUAUUUUCAAAAUUUUGUCCGAUCGCUCACCGCAUCUAUGUACGGCAUCUUUUGCAGGAAAAACAGAGUAAUAAAACAAAGCAGGAAAAACAGAGUAAUAAAACAUCUGUCCAACUGUUUGACCCAAGCCAGGCAUUUUCUGGUAAUUUAACAGGGAAAUAAGUAACAAGAACAGAUACAAUAAAUAAAUACAAAGAAAGUAAAUGAAAUGCGAUCUGCAGAGAAAAAUAAAAUUUGUGCCCUUCAUUCGAGUAGUCUAAAUCUUUUAGGUUGUGGUUCCUCCUCAUCAUUACAGCAGCCACUUCCACUAGCUUCAGCCGCCCCAACAUAUCCUUCAAGACUUCGCUUUAGAAAGCUUCGCUCAGACGACGUCGUUGAUCCUGCAUCAUCCCGGCAGCAACUUCCACUGGCUUCUACCCUGUCUAAGUCAUCAUUAAGGCUACGCGUAAAGGAUGUUGAUCCAGAACAAUCGUGACCGAAUUCGUUCAAUCUCCAAACCGGACCAAUUGUUUGGUUGAACUUAUCCCCUUGAUGCACAUAUAUUGGAUGCAAACCGCACCUCUUCAGCAUCAAUCCCGACGGCGAAGAAAAUUCCACUUUACAAAUAUUAUGGUAGUAUCGCCACACCUCUUCCCUAUUCAGGUAGUAUAGCCAAAGAUGGUCUGACACAGCCUGACUGAAUUGCUUUCCAAACAAAAUUCCAUAACUAUUCACGUCGGUAGGCCGGACACGCAGAUAAUGUACGGGAUAUGGAUACGGUCGUAUAUAAUAAGGAAGUGAAUAUUUAGGGGCAUGAAAAACACAGCACAUAGCAUAUCCCACAAGCUUACUAUUCUUAUACGUCUUUGGAGGCGUGCUUAUUGUUAUUGAAGAACCCUCAUUAUUCUGAUACUCGAACCACUCUGGGAUUUCACUUCCAGGAACAAUUAUGUUAAACAGAUAGUUCUGAAACCCCACAAAUACAUAUAUAUAUAUAUUAGAAAGCCAUACCAAUGCAUAAUUUUUAGGCAUGAUUUUAGCAACAGGUGAGAGAGUGUAAGAAAUUGACAUUACCUGUUUAAUGUACUUGUCCGACAGUGACAUAUUCUGCAACCCCACGGAAAAAAAAAAGUGAGUAAAUAAAUAAAAUAAAAAGACAUAACAUGUAUUGCAUCAGUUUUAGGCAUGAUGUAGCACAGGUGAGAGUGAGAGACUGACCUCAGAAUUUUUAAUGUACUCUUUCAGCAGUGAAAGCGCCAAAUCAUAGCUGCCAGUCAAUUUCGAGCAAUCCCCACAAUAAAGGUUUAACGACGGGAGUCGAUGCUCGUUUAAGUUUAAAUUUAAUACAUCUGAUAAUGUCUCCAACGAAACACAACCCCCUAACGAAAUCCGAUGUAUACUGGCUGGAAGUCGAGGCAGAUUUUGAAGCAUUUUGCAUUCCUCUAAUUCAAUCUCCCGAAGAUUAGAAAGACGGUAGAUGCUUGCCGGUAGCGAAACAAAACUGUUUCUACUCAAACAUAACGUUUCUAAUGAGCAUAAGUCGCCAAUACCACUUGGGAUUGCUCCUUCCCCUAGAUCACAGUAACUGAUAUCCAAUUUCGUUAAACUACACAAACCUGACAGAGAAGACGGCAAACUGAAAUCCAUCGGAUCUGAACUCCUUCGUAUCAAAUUGAUAGGAAAGCGCAGAAACCAUGAUGCAGAUGAUGGUGAUCCUUUGCACCCACGACAAGAUAGUUCUUUAAGAUUCUUCAUAAGAAAAAUCGACGAUGGAGGUUGCCUUAUAGCUGUACCACUUAUAUCAAGUUUUUCCAAACUUUCUACUUGCCCAAGCGUCUCAGGCACAUUUUCAAGUUUGAAGCAGCCUGAGAGAUUCAAAUUUCUGAGGGAUUUCAAACCAUUUAUACUGCUAGGAAGUCUCACGAGAGUUUUGCAGUCAUUCAAAUUCAACAAUCGAAGUUUGGUCAAAAGCUCUAUAGAUGAUGGCACUUCUGUGAUAGAAGUUCCGUCUAAAAAGAGCUCUGACAGAUCUACCACACUUAUCACAGUCUCUGGAAAUUUCACUAUUUUCGAGCAACCAGAUAGCACGAGCGUUUGUAGACAUUCUAAACUGCCUAUUGUAAUUGGAAGACUCGCGAGAUUUCUGCAAUCUUUCAAAUUCAAUGAAACAAGGCCAGACAUAAGUUCAAUUGAUACUGGCAGUUCUUUGAUAUCAGUUUCAUCCAAAAGAAGUUCCCGUAGACACUCCAUACUUCCCACAACGCGUGGAAGUUUCCUCAAUUUCAAGCAACCAGAAAGAACAAGUGUUUUAAGCGAUUUCAUAAAUAUCUCACCCGGAAGAGUUGUAAGACUUGUACAACCUUUCAAAUUCAACAAGAUCAGCUUAUUGUGACGUAGCAAAGACUGGUGAAUUUCACGCAACCUUGUACAUCCUUCAAGAUCCAACACCUCUAAGUUUGGGACCUUUGUGAAGUCUGGUGUCUUAAUCAGAUUCUCCGAAUGGCUGAGUUUCAAGACUCUCAACAUGUUUAAAGGCUGUUGAAAACAAAAAAAGGAGCUAAAAUGAUAUUUCUUAAUUCAUAUACUACUAUAAUAAUAAAUUGUUAUCAACAAUUAUUCACUGAAAAAUAUAAAUUAGUGACCAAAAAAAAAAUUGAUCUUACUUUGAUUCCCUUCCAUAAUUCUUCAAUGCGGCUGUAGCACAUUUUAAAUUUAACAGUUUUAUCCAAUUGCAAAUUUGAUGGCAAAGAUUUCAAAGGAUACCGAUGCCAAUCAAGUAAUCGCAACCUGUUCGAGAGGUAUUCUAGGCCUUCAGGAAGUUGCACAUUACUGAUUUUGAGCAAUCUUAGGUUGGUCAUCAGUGAAAAUGCUUUAGCACUUAAAUGCACAUCAUUUCCACGAAAGAAAUCAUCAUCAACCAUUAUUCCUACAACUACUUCACUUCCCUGAAAAUUAUAAAGAAAGUCGUUCGUUAGAAAUUUAACUAGCUAAAAGAAGUGAGCUGAGCUAGAAAUAAAUACUUUUAGAUCCCCUUUAUUAUUCACUUACUGUAUUUUGUGACAAUACAUGGUGUACAUCUGCUUCCUUCCACAAUCUACUGCGUUUUCCAGGCUCGUCGGGGGAUUGUCUCCUAACAAUUUGGUGACCCAUUUCUUGUAUCAAAUCAUGCAUCCACAAUCUGUUAUUCUCAUGUACUGUUAAUAAAGAUUUUUCUAUAAGAACUUCUAUUCCAACGACUGGGGAAAAACCACAUCCCUCUAGAAUUUUCAAUACAUAAUCUCUAGUCUUCCAUUUAAAGAAACAUGCAAUAUCGAGAAAUAUUUUCUUCUCUAAUUCUUGUAGUCCGUCAAAACUUAUUUGAAGUAUACUCAUAAUCUUAUUGGGAGGCUCUAUUUGUAGCCUUUCCAAGGUGCUUCUCCAUUGAUCCACGGAUCUACCAUUCAAAAAGGAACCCAAAACUUCGAGAGCUAAUGGAAGACCACCGACAUACCGUAGAACACCUUCUGACAGCUGCACACAUUCUUCAAGAGGCUUUUGGAUUUUAAAAGCUUUCAUGUUGAAAAGUUGAAGAGCAUCAUGGUAAUUUAGUUCAUUAGGCUUAUAUAUUUCAUCCAUUCCAUGUGUCUUUAAUAGAUGUUCAUCUCGCGAUGUUACAAUGAUCCUACUGCCUGAACCAAACCACUCACGCUUUCCAGCUAAAUACUCUAAUUGCUUUAUGUCAACCACAUCAUCAAUAACAAGAAGAACCUUUUUGUGUUGCAGCCUGCUUCCUAAAAUGUUGAUGCCAUCACCGACAUUCCAUAUGCUAUCUUUUUCGAGCUUCAAUAUUUCGAAAAGGAGUUGCCUUUGAAAAGAGAUUACACUGCCUUUGUUUUCAAAUUUUUCUCUAACAUCGGCAGAAAACUACUCCCUUCAAAUUCAUGAGAGAUCAAGUCAUAAACAACUCUUGCAAGAGUCGUCUUACCUAAACCUCCCAUACCACAAAUCCCUAUCAUACGAACAUCAUCAUUAGGCCCUUUGUUCAUAAGAGGACCUCAGUUCUUCAAGCGUGGAAUCUUAUCCCACUAGAUUCUUAANNNNNNNNNNNNNNNNNNNNNNNNNNNNNNNNNNNNNNNNNNNNNNNNNNNNNNNNNNNNNNNNNNNNNNNNNNNNNNNNNNNNNNNNNNNNNNNNNNNNNNNNNNNNNNNNNNNNNNNNNNNNNNNNNNNNNNNNNNNNNNNNNNNNNNNNNNNNNNNNNNNNNNNNNNNNNNNNNNNNNNNNNNNNNNNNNNNNNNNNNNNNNNNNNNNNNNNNNNNNNNNNNNNNNNNNNNNNNNNNNNNNNNNNNNNNNNNNNNNNNNNNNNNNNNNNNNNNNNNNNNNNNNNNNNNNNNNNNNNNNNNNNNNNNNNNNNNNNNNNNNNNNNNNNNNNNNNNNNNNNNNNNNNNNNNNNNNNNNNNNNNNNNNNNNNNNNNNNNNNNNNNNNNNNNNNNNNNNNNNNNNNNNNNNNNNNNNNNNNNNNNNNNNNNNNNNNNNNNNNNNNNNNNNNNNNNNNNNNNNNNNNNNNNNNNNNNNNNNNNNNNNNNNNNNNNNNNNNNNNNNNACAACAAAGAUCAGUAUGGUUAAAUUACAGUUAGCCUGAAUGCGGUAUUAAUAAAUUUAGUAAUAGAAAAAACCCAAAAUAUGCAAUAUUCGUUGGAAAAAAUUGAAGUAAUGUAAGAUGUUGUUACAUAUGGCUAAUCUUUAGGUGCGUUCAUGUAAAUAUCUGCAUCCAUUUGUACCACUUUUGUUUGCAAAUAUUCGUAUGUGGAGAUAUUGUUUCAAUUAGUGCACAUCAUAUCAUACAGGUAUUGAAUGAAAGUUGUUUAACUGACAACAGGAUGCUGAUUAAAGCUAUUUAAAAUGAUAUACAUAAUAAUAAGAAUGGGUACCUGUACUCUUUCAAUUCCCAGCCAGAAAUAUUAGCCACCUCUUUCAAAGCAUCUCUCCAAUUUUUCACUUUUUCUAGAUUCUCCUUAAAAGCUUCUUCAUGUUUAGAAAAAGCUUCUCGAAAACUUCCCAUUUGUUUCCUUACCACAGUGGGUUCAACAUCAUAGAAAACUGGAAAAACCAUUUGUUGAUGAUCGUUUUUGUUCUUGCAUUGAACAAUCUUAACAAGUUCAUCCAAGUACCAAGUGGAGGAAGCAUAGUUUUGAGAGAAAACAAUAAUUGAAAUUCUAGAAUCUUCAAUUGCCUUAAGAAGUCCAGGUGAAAUGGAUGCUCCUCUCUCAAGUUCUUUGUCAUCCUUGAAUAAAUAAAUUCCUUUUCCAUUCAAAGCAGCAUAGAGAUGACUUAUGAAGCUUUUACGGGUGUCUGCUCCUCUAAAGCUUAAGAAGGCAUCAUAUGGCCAAUGAGACACAUUUUGUAUGCUCGAUGAAGCCAUCACAAUAUUAAUUUGUUCUGAAAAUUUUGAAAAAAAAGCAAGAAAUGAUUGCCUAGGAACAAUACUAUGUAAACAACAGAAUUCAUCUAGAGUUAUGGAUUAUCUCAAAGUGUCAAAGUCGUAUACACUAGCGUAGGGAGUGUGUGGUGCACUACAUUAUAUCGCAGUACUAUGUUUUAGUGUAGUAUGUACAAUAGUGUUUAUUGAAAUAUUUUAUACUAAUAUUAUUAUCAAAAUUUAUUAUUUGACAAAUAAAAUUUAAAAAUUUAUUAAUAAAUAAUACUUAAUUAUAUUGCUUGAGCUUUAUUGCGUAGCAAUAUUACAUUAACCUUUAAAACAGUGCCAUAUUUAGUGCGGUAUAUGCGUGAUCUUGUUUAUCUAAAUUUUUUUAUAAUAUUAUUUUAUUAAAUUUAUUGGUUAAAUUCAUUAUUAAAAUAAAAAAUUCAUUAAUGAAGUAGUACUAUUUCUAUUUAAGUAAAUUAUAAAUGUGUUAGGUAAUAAAAUAAUUGAUUAAAAUUAUUUUUACAUAAUAAAAGUAAAAUAAUAAAAAUGAUUUUAUAUCAUAAAAGUAAAAAAGUACGCAAUUAUUUAUAUUAAAUUCAUAUUAUAUGGAUUUAUUUAUAUUUAAUUUUAUUAUUUGAUUUAAAUAUCUUAUUUAAAUUUAGGUAAAAUGACACUUAGAUGGCAUAUUUUGAAUAAGAAACACUAAAAUCCUCUUUUGACUAUGAUACCAUUUAGCUCUAAUAACUCAAAAAAAUUAAUUUCAAUGUUUUAUAAUUAAUAUAAAUAUGAUAUUAAAUAAAUGUAACAAUAUCUAUUAGAAACAUUUGUAAUAAAUAGAAUUAUAAUAUUAAAUCCCAAAAUUUUUUCAAGUGUCGAUUGGAGAGUGCGUACACCGAUCUCUACUUGAGAAAAUCUUGAUUAAAGCCUCUUAGAGAAGGCAAAGAGAUUGUGCCAAAUUAACAUUAAAAGAUUUCUUUCAAUUUACAGCUUGUACAAAAUUAACAUUAAAAAAAUUCUUUCAAUUUUAUCAUUAUUUAUUUGUUUUUAAACAUCAAGAUAUGCAAAUUAAUUAUGAAAGUAAAAGAGAGAGAUGUAUGAGAUAGAACUUACAGCUUUUGAGUGUAUUGCAGAAAGCCAUUUAAAUGAACUCCAAUGAAGUAUUUGAUUCAAAGAAUUUAAAUAUUUAAUCAUGCAAAUAUAUUCUUUUGGAAAAAAAAAUAAAGCAAUCAGCUAGUGUAUGUAUUUCCAAAAGCAAGUCUUGGUCAAAAAGUGACUUUCUUAAUAAUUAAUAGACAUUUGUCACUGUUUACUCACAUGCUGGAGUUACCAUAAAACUUCCUGGAAGCUUCGAGGAAACUGAGCGAAGAUUGUCUGGCUUUUCAAUUGAUGACGCGUCCAAGCCACUCUGCCCAUUAGCCACGUUGGAUUUCAUUAAAAUGGAAUGGAAUCCAACGGUUGACAUCAAUAAUUGAUAAAAAUAGUUAAAUUGCCGCAAUCUAUAGGAAUGGUAAAUCUUUUAUUAGAAACCUUUUAUUAGUAAAAUUUCAUCUGAGUCUUUAGGAGAUGUUGGAUCAAUUUAAUAAUUUGUAGUUUUACGAUAAUUGUCAUAAACUGUGUUGUAUAAAUAAUCAUUUGUAAAGGUAAUUAAUUAAACGUUUGAUAAAUUUACUUUUAAAAGUUCUGCAAAUUUUAAAAAUAAUCGUAUGUGUUUGAUAAAUUUUAUUUUAAAAUUGUGUUUGGUGUUUCAUCCAAACACCAAGUAGAAAAAGAGCAGUUCUUUUAGAGAAAAAUAAUCGAAAUUCUUCUUCAAUUGCUUUAAAAAUUUUCUGGGAAAAUGGAUCCUCCUUUCGCAAGUCUUGGUCCAAAAGCGACUGGUUACUCACACGAUGAAGGUCGCAUCAAACUUCCUGGAAGCUUCAAGGAAUCUGAACGAAAAUUAUCUGGUGUUUCAAUUGAUUACGAGUCUUCUCCACUCUACCCAUUAGCCAUGUUGAAACCAUUGUAUUCAACUAAAAUGGAAUGGAAUCCAACGGUUGAUAUCAAUAUUUAAUUAAAUAUCAAGAUACGGUUGAUAAAUCAUUUUACCUGAAUUUCCAAUUAAGUUUGUUUCAAAGAACUCAAUGCAAGGAUUUUUAUGCGUUCUAAGUAAUUUGUCAAACAACAAACAAGUUUAGUCUAAAAUGUGUGCCGACAGUAAUGACGAAGAAUGAUUUUGGUCUUUAGUGGAGAAAGACAUGGUCUAUCUGAUGUUGACAAAAGCUAGCUUUAAUAAUCUACACACCAAAAGCAAUGAUUUCUUUAUGUAUUUUAUUAAGGGCAUCUUCAAAUGUAAUUGCAUUUUUUAGGGAAAAAUGAGUAAAAUAUUUUUUGGAAUAAUUCCACUACAAUCUUUCAUUUUUUUUUAAUUAUAGUAUUUUCUCAUUAAAAUAAAUAAAGAUUGGAAAGUAAAGGUUGAAGGCUUGAAAUUUUUCUUUGAAGUUGCUUAAACCUUGGGAAGAAGGCCGUCCAUUUCCCUUAGAAAUAAUUGGUUUUAGGCAUCUUUUGGUUACAAGCCUCACAAGUUGUAAGUUAUUUUUCAGAUUUUUUAUACAAAGAAUUGGUCGAGGAGAGUCAAACUCAGAUAAAACUUGUUAAUGUAGUCCACGUCAGCCGCUUGAGCAUCUGAAUUUCCCGCCCAAACAAAAACUAAUAAACAUAACGAAUUUGAAUCAUCAUUCAACAAUGACAUAGCAACUUGUGAGGCUUGUAUUUUGAUCAUUUCUGUAUUUGUCAAUGCAUUAUUCAUCUACGACCAGGCUCUAAAAACAAGUAAAUGCUACAGUUGUAUGCAAUUGAUGAAUAUAGAUAAGCAAAUCUAAAAUUUUUUGAUAAUAUUACUUAUUAAGAUUACAAAUCCAUCCGCAAGGCAGCUGUAAAUAAUCAUAUAGCCUGACGUCUGAACUUUUUACAUGAUUAAUAAAGGAUAAGAGCAUAUUCAGAAAUUAAUUUCUACUUAAAUGUGUUGUAGUCAUGCAAAAUAGAGAAACCUUAUUAUAGUGAAUCUGUGUGUGUGUAUGGCACUGUGGCAGAAGUAAACAAAUAAUAAAAGCAUGAUAGCAUAAAGAAUUAAAGAUCAUGAUAUGUGCAUAUUAGAUUAUUAUAGAACGAACCUGCUCUCAAAACUGAUGAGUGACUGAGCAGGAAGAAAAGGCCACCUAGGAUGUGAAUUUGCUGUUAUUUGAUUUGACUUUUCGGCAUGGUUUUUGCCGUUUGAAUCAGCCUAUGGCGGCCAAGUGAGCAAGCUGAUGCUGCUGUCGUAGAUAGCUUGCUGCCCUUAUUUACAUUCAUCUUCCAUAUUACAGUAGAACAACAUUGAAAGGAAUGCACAUAGAAGUAAUACGGUAUUUCUUGUUUUAAAGGGAGAAAUUUACACUCGUCCACUUGUUUGUUUUGUCUUUUUCAAAAAUACACAAACACUUUUUUUUUCAGCGCGCCAUCUUAAGUUUGCUUUUUGUUGCAUUCGUCCACUUCCGUCUAAUUUCCGUUAGUGGAUUUAACAGAAUGUUAACAAAAUGACCUUUUUACCCCUCAAAAUUACAAUUUAACCCAAAAUAAAUAGAAAUUGGAGAUAAAUUAAAUGGAUUUAAUUUUU
This 45955-nucleotide long non-coding RNA is filed under the name Citrus x clementina. Its description in RNAcentral is "Citrus clementina (C. clementina) long non-coding RNA (CCLE_LNC004225)". Lineage: Eukaryota; Viridiplantae; Streptophyta; Magnoliopsida; Sapindales; Rutaceae. The record is from RNAcentral.